UGACAUGCAAAAAGGUACCAGAAAUAUAAAAAGGUAAAAUUAAGAACAUAUUCCAUCACUUAAAGCACUUGGCAUCCAAGAGAGGCUCUCCCUCAAAUGGCUCGCAGUCUUCAAUCAUCUGAUUCACCCGUUCCUUCUGGGCUGCAUCUGAGAGGUCGACCUUCUUCCACUCGUAGAGUUCCAUGUCAUAGCACUCGUCAAUCACAAAUUGAGGAAUCUCUUGCCCACGGAAAAGCCAUAGUCCUUUCACCUUGAAUGGAGGGUUAGCACCGAUCACCAACAUCUUCCCAAAUGCAUACUUGCGGGCCAAAUCCAUUCUCUGCAGGAAUCCUCCAACCUUGUUCAUUGUGACAAAUGAAACUGUAUUCUCCUCAUUGUACUUGUAGUCACAAAACCACAGUGAGUAUCCCUCGGGAUCAUACAUGUCCCAGAAUCCUGACACGAAUCAAGUAUCAGAUAUCACAAGUCCAAACAUUGCUUUUAAAAGGGAGUGCUACUGUGAAAACAACAGGGAUACCUUUAAUCGCAACCUCUCGGAAAUUGGUCUUUGUGUUAGAGUAAAGCCUUUUCCAGUCAUCCAGUACCAUCUUACUUGGAGGCAGCAAAUCAAGAGGAUUCUUUGGUUUGGGCUUUGGUGCCUCCUCCUCCACAGCGGCCUCUGCCUUUGCUGCCUGUUUCUCAACCUCCUUUUUGGCUUCUUUCUUUGGUUCAGCCUUUGGUUUAGUUUCUUUUGGCUGGGCAGCAGGCUUCUUUGAAGGAACAGGUGGUAGAGAGACUGCCUGCUUCACUUCACCAAGAAUCCUCUUGAUUUUUGGCUGAUUAACCAAGGUCCAAAAGUACCUCUCAACAUGAGGGAAUUCAGAGGUAAAACUCUUGGUCAUGAUCUGGAAGAAACCCAAGUAGAGAUUACAUGUCAUGAUAAUGUCAGCAAGGGUGACAGCAUGUCCAACAAGAAAUGUGUUGGAAGCAAGAUGAGUGUUCAAAGCGCCAAGGGCUCUCUUCAAUGCAGUAAUAGCAGCUUCCUCAGCCUACAUGCAAAAUACAAAUAAGAGAUUAAAAUGAAAUAGAUGGGCAAAAUCAUACCAUUAAAGUAAAAUGAGCUACUACUGAAUUACAAAAAUAAAAUUUCUCUUUAUAUAGAUUAAUAAAUACAUCAGAAUGGGGGAGAAAACAACCUAAUCUCUUAAAAAAAUAAUGAGGAGAAAACCCAUGCCUACUUGAUUAUCAAUUCAAUGGGCAUUCCCUUCUACCAAAAUUACUUAAUAGUGCUUGAGUUGAUUCCUUUCCAGAAACUAUGCAUGGGAAAACACCACCACAUUAAGCAUGUACUAAAUGUUGUGUAACUAAUCCUCUCUAAAAUAAAUAAAACAAGAAUCAUAGACAGGUAAUCAAUGCCAAUUUUCCCUUCACCAUGCCCACCUUAAUAUUAUGUAUUUUGAUGACUAAGCUGCCUUAUUCCAAUUUUAACAUGGGACCUAUUGUCUUAUAAUUAGAAAGAAACAAAGACUAAGUAUGGCCCCAGCAAAUCAAGCUUAAUUAAAAUGAUAAAAGAAUCUGCGAGGAAAGAUAGUAGAACUUACUGGAGGAAGGUAAACACCGUAACCAAGUCUUGGAUACAACCAUUUGGCAAUAUUAGCAUCAAUUUCCAUGGCUGCAAAAUCAAUCCAUUGCUCGAUAUGACCCUAAGAAAGCCAAAGUAAUACAUACAAACAAUUACUUCCAUGGUUUAAAAUAAACUUAACUGAUGACAGAAGAAAACAAGACCAUUGUACUAUAAGAAUCUUACAUAAUCAAUCAAUGUAGAACCACAUAUAGGGUUGUUAACCUUUGAGCGAGCAACUGCAGAGAAAAGUAUACCAAUAAGUAAACAAACAUUAGAGGAAGAAAAUUUAGGAUAUGGAGUCAGCAGAUCUUCUCACCAUAACGAGCAAUGGCAUUGCUCUCAAAUACCGGACCCUCAGGUGUUUCCAACACAGGAACCUAGAAGAGUUAUAAAUAUCUUCAGUGAACUGACCUAGAAAAAAGGUUACGUAACAUGCAUAAAAAAAAUUCUCCAGUUUAAAUAUAUUAAUAGGCGUUACAAGGUCACCUUCCCCAAAGGGUUCAUCUUGAUGAACUCAGGAGUCUUAUUUGACACACCCAUCUCAAAAUUCUCAACCAUUUUGACCUGCACACCACUAUAUUCUGCAGCAAUGAGUGCCUUAAAGGCAUUUUUGUUUGUUUUUCCUGCAUGCAAGAUCUGCAUGUAAAUCAACACACCACAUUGAUUAGAUGAACCGGUUGAUUAAGAAGUUGAAUACAAUGUCAAACACCAGUCACUCCCUACAACUAAUCCAGGAAAAUCCUGAAAUUAAUCCUUUUCGCCCUAUAAAUUCUCUUAAAGACCAUUCCCUUUACAUUCUAAACUACUAAACGGUACUUAGCAUUUCCAUCUACCAUACACAAUUAACCUAAUUGACGUAACAUCUCGCCAUCAAUCUUUCUUCUGGUCAAUGGUUCCCAAUUGAAAUCUAAGGUGGUAGAGUUAAAAUCAAAAUCAAUUUUUUUUUAUCGUUAUGAUUAGUAUCUACAAAUCCAUAAACUAUUCCAUUGAUAGUAACUAUAUAAAACAUAUUCAAUCUGCCACUUCCUUCGCAAUGUAAAAAAGCUAGUUACAAAUUUCACUUUCUAAUUCUACUCGAAAUAACUUCCACCUAGUCAUUAGGUGUCAAUUCUGUCAACAGUUAAACUACCACAAGAAACGAAACUAAUAUAGAUACACAGAUAUAAAGCUUACCAGAGCCAUGGCUUGAUAGAAAAGAGCGCUACGAUUUGAGAACUGAGAUCUGGAAAUUGAAAAACAGAGAAUAAAAAUAAACGGAAUAAGGAAAAAUAUUCAAGCAGGAGAACUUGAUUGCCAUGUAUUAAGGAGAAAAAAUGAGAGAAGGGAUUAAGAAAGAACCUUAGACGAAAUCGCAGCGAGAAGGAGCGGGAGAGACUGCGGGACAAAGAGAGAAUAAAAGAAGGGGGGACUAGGGUUUUUGUAGAGUAGAGCGAAUGUGAUGUGGGGUUAUCAGUUCGGGUUCCGGUUUAGAUCCAGAUUUACUAACCCCUUUCUUUUUCCGGUUCUUUUAAGCGUGUCUUUCAAGUAAUAAGUGGGUGAGUUAGAAGUAGAGGUGAUCAUGGGCCGUGCCGGGCCGGGUCGGGUUCGGGCUGAACUCAUACAAAUUUUUAGGCCUGUUUAUUAGGCCCGGGUUCGGCUCGAAAUAUGGGCCUAAAAUUUUGUCCAAGCCCGACUCGAAAUAAAAUUACUAAGCCCGGCCCGGCCCGGCCCGGCCCAUAUUAAAAAAUUUUUUAUUUCAUUAAAUAAAAAAAUUUAAAAAUAUAAUAAAUCAAAUAUAUUUAAAAACAUAAAAACAAAUAUUAAAACAAAUAAAAAUAAUACUAAAACAAUUCUUAAAACAAUACACAAAUUAAUAAUAUAAUAAAAAAUAGUUAUAUUAAAAAUUUAAAAUAAUUAAAAAUAAAAUAAAUAUAUAUAUAUAUAAUUUGGGCAGGGCCGGGCCGGGCCGGGCCCGGGCCAAAAAACUCUUACCCGAGGCCCGGCCCGUUUUCUAAACGGGCCUCAUUUUUUUGCCCAAGCCCAUUUUUCGGGCCUAUAUUUUUACUCAAACCCUCCCAUUUUUUGAGCGGGCCUUCGGGCCGGGCCGCCCAGCCCAUGAUCAGCUCUAGUUAGAACUAGUUUAAUGGGAUUACCAUUUAAAGAAUAAUUAAAUAAAAAUUAUAAAUUAUAAAUUAUAUAAAAAAAUUCUCAUAACCAUUGAACCGUUGUUUUUCUCCAAUUUUCUUUUUCACAACAGUUUUGCUUUUUAUGUAAUUACACGCAACUAAUUUAUCUGGAUAGAUUAAAUCACGAAUUUUUAGUUUAAUUCUUUAGUUCACUCUGAACAACACUACUUAUCUCAAAUUUUUUAUUUUGUGUCUAGUUAUUAUUAUUAUUAUUAUUAUUAUUAUUAUUAUUAUUAACUUGGAGUAUAAUGAUUUAAAUUUUUGCUCAUGCAUGUUGAGGUUCUUUAUUUAGAUAAAAGUUAAUUCAAGUUGGGUUCAAACAUUGUUAUAUGUGAUAUUUUAUUUAAAAAAAAUUAAACUAUCCUCGAAUAAUUUAAUUUAUUUUAAAUAUGAAAAAUAUGUUAAAUUUGUAAAAUAAAUCUGAAAUAAAACUUAAUAAAUUAGGAUCUAUUAUGUCAAAUCAUCAAGAAUAAAUCAAAAACAAAACUAGAUGCAGAAGCGUACCUGAAUCCAUGAAUUCCUUGAAGUUUUACCUGAUCUUGGGGAUUUGAUCUUCUAAAUUGGAACACAAGAAAUUCAGAGAAUAUUUGCUCUUUCUUUCCUAAUGAUGAGAUAUUAGAAAAGAUAUCUUGUAUAUAAUUUGGGGACCAUAACCCUAAACUUCACAUAUUUGACCCAUACUUUAUUUAAUAAUUAAAACCCAGUAAAAUUUUAACCAAAUUAGAUCACUUUUAAUUUUGGCUAAUCUAUCAUGAUAAUAAAUAAUAACAUAUAAUUACCCUUAUUAUAUAUGUGAUGUCCAUAUUUUCCAACAAUCUCCCACUUGGACCACAUAUAUGUACUAAUUACUCUAUAAUUACAUGUCAUUAUAUAACCUUAUGAGCUCAAAAUUUUACUAUCAUAUCCAAAAGGUAUUCCAAAUAAUCUCGUCCAUUAAUUAUGUUAACAUAGAACCAAGGCGACUUUCGUUACGUAUAUCGUAACUAAAUCCAUCCAUGAUUACGUAUAUUAACACAACCAAAUGACAUAGAUCAAGUAUGGAUGUGUAGCAUGGAACAUGCAAUAUGAUCUAAACAUGUCUAUUUCCAAUUAGUCCUCCUUAGUGAGACCAAACCUUACCAAAAUCAGAGUGUGAAUAAACCAAAUAAACUUCAUUUCUGCAGAAAAUAAACUUAAUAUCUUUAAACUGAAAUAACUGAAAAUGUGUCUAUGACAUAAAAGCAUUUAAAAAUACUAUCUCCCACUAAAAUCAAAUAUCUUUUAAAUGACAUUACACUUAUAUGAGCAGUGUGCUCUUAUAAGACCUUAGGUGUAGUUCCUUAAUAAGCGGAUCUACAAUCAUGGAGUUUGUCCUAAUAUGCUUUAUAAGCACCUAACCACUCUGGACUUUUACUUUAACAACCAUGAACUUAAAGUCUAUGUGUUUUUACUUUGAUGUGCUCCUAUUGAUAUUGGAAUAAAAGACUGCAAAUUGUUUUCACAAUUUGCACCUUAAUGAAAAAAUCUUGUAUCCAUAUUCCAUCAAAAUCGAAGCCUAUAUACUUGAUGAUCUCUAACUGAUUAGACCUCCGAUAUGUGAACAUGUAAUCUUUUGUUCUCUGAAAAUACCUUAUAACCCUCUUGGAUGCGAUCUAAUGGUCCAAACCAGGGUUGCUUAAAAUAUCUGCCUAACAUCCCAAUAGUGUACACAAUAUUCCAAUGUAUACAAACUUGAACAUAUAUUAGACUUUCUACUACUAAAAUGUAAAAAAAUCUAAUGCAUUUUUGUAAUCUCAAAAUCAUUCUUAGGGCAUUGAUUGAAACUAUACUUAUUAUUGAUAAGCAGUAUGUCAUUAACAUAUAAAACCAAAUAUAGAACCUUACUCCCACUAAACUUAUGGUAUAUACGAUUAUCAAUAAAAUUCAUCUCUAAACCGAAUAAAAUAAUCAUUUGGUAAAAUUUGUAAUAUUAUUGACGAGAAGUUUGGUUAAGCCCAUAGAUGAAGUUCUUUGCAAAUCAUUAACUUUGCAUCAUUAGACACAAAGCUUUCUAAUUGCGCCACAUAAAUGUAUGAUCAAUGUUACCAUUGAGAAACCAUUAACUUAAUAUUCAUCUGAUGUAGCUUAAUGUCAAAAUAUUCCACUAAAGCCAUUAUAACCCUUUCUCUAGUGGACCUUUUUAAUGACAUUCAUUCUUGAGGUUGUUAAGUUUGUUUUUUGGAACAAUUACCUCAUCUUGAAUAGGGAGUUGUUUAACAUUGUCUUAUUGAGGUUCUAGAUUCACUUCUUAAUCAAUGAUAGGUAUGAGAAUCUAAACAUCAUCAAAAGUGAUAGUAAGAAUUGAGUUAAAAUUCAAUUCCUCCUUAAAAACAAUGUAUCUAACCUUAUUUCUCCUUCCAAACUCAACAUCCUAAAAGAAUGUUGCAAUUCUCAUCUCAAAAAAAUAUUCCUAAUUGUGGGAUUAUAAAAUUCAUAGCCCUUAGAUCGCUCAGUAUUUCCUUGACCUUAUACUUUAUAGACAUCAAAGAAGUUAGAAAUGAUGUCAUUUCAACCUUAUCAUUUUUAGCAAAACGUUUCUCAAUUUCGUCAAUGAAACCUUAGCCUGAGUAAUCUUUUCAGAUUCUAUGCCCUUAAAGGCUUCUAAAAUGUUGUGCCUCAUGAUCAUUAAACUCAUGCAAUUUGAAUGAUUCUACCUCUCAAAAUCCCUUUGUAACACUCUGAAAAUUUCUACAGUAAGAUAUUAUCCUUAAUAUAGUAAAAUAAGGAAAUAAAGUGACAAGAAGAGGAAAAUUGAGUUAUGUCACUGGGAAAUAUAUUAUGACAUAUCGAUUCAAGAAAGGACUAAAUUAUAAAAGUGAGAAAAUUUUUGUGGCUCAAGAGUAAAUACUCCAAAUUUGAGGGAUUAAAGUGUAAAUAUAAAAAAGUUGAAGGACUAAUAUUGCAAAUAUUUUAAGGGUGGAAUGAUCUAGAAACCAAGGAAAAUUGAUGAAUUAGGACCAAAUUGAAUAGGUGAAGAACUAUGAGGGACUAAAUUAUAAUUUUACCAAAUUAAGUGAUGACUCAAGAAUGGAAUUUUAAAAGAUCACAAAGGGCAAAAUGGUCAAUUGGAAGAGAGAGAAAUCUAGAAAGUAAUGUUAUGUUGGUGAUAUUUUAUAAUUAUAUAAUUAGAUAAUUAUUAUUUAUUUAAUAUUUUAAUAAGAUAUUUUAUUAUUUUAUUAUUUUAUUUAGUCUAUAUAUAUAUGUGUGUGUGGAAAAAAAACACACACUUACACACCAUCCAUCAUCUUUCCCAUGCACUAAUGUGAGAGGAAGAGAGAAUGAAAGAAAGUUUUACUUUCUUUAUAAUUUGGUCCUUCUACCAAAAAUUCACCAUUUUCACCCAAAAAUCAAAAGAAUUUCCAUAGCUACCAAGAGAGAAAAAUGUUAAGAAAACUAUGAGAAGUUAGAAUAUCAAGUUGGAUUCAAGAAAAAGAAGUUGAAGGAGAGAGAAAAUCAAGUUAAAGAUUGAAAUCAAUGGAACAAGGUAAGAACAUCAAGAUUUCAAUACAUUUUUAAGAUUAAUAUUAUUGAAAAAGCAUGGAAUUGAUGUUAAUGUAGAGUUUUCUUAUAUAUGGUCUUAUGUUCUUGAUAUGUUAGUGAAGAAAAAAAUAAGAGAAAGUAAUGAGAAAUAGUGUAGAGAAAGAAAAUAAAGGUGUUAUAAACAUGGUAAAUAAACAUCUUGCACUAAAACAGUUUUGGACAGCAGCAGUAGGCUAAAUUUAAAAAAUCACCAUAAAUUGUGGAAAUAGUAUUAGAGGAUUAAAAAAAUAUUGAAUUAAAUCUUAUUGAGUCUAGUUUCUUAUAGAAAAAACGGUACAAGAAAUGGAAUCGUAAAUUGUGAGAUAUAGUAAAUUUAGUGAGACAAUGUCAGAAUGAUUUCGAGUUCCCUUGUUCUGACUUUGGAAAAUCAUAAAAAAUUGGAGAAAAAUAAUUAGGUUCUUAAAGUUAUAUUUUUAAAAUUCUGAAUGAGUAAUAGAAACAAACGAGAACAUCAUCUGAAUCCUGUACAAUGAGAUAAUUAAUUUUUUAGUAAAGAAGGGUCGGAACUGUCAGACAACAGAAUAAGGGUGACUUUAAAGAAUAAAAUGUACUUAUUGGCUAAACCAAAAAUUCUUAAAAUUUUAUGGUAAGAAUAUACGUAAGUCUAGUUUCAUAGAAAAUUAGCGGAUCUUAAUUUCGAGUUUUGCAGCUCUAGAUAUAAAUAAUUAGUGACUGUGACGCAAAUGGACAAUUUUGAAUAUACAUAUAAGUAAAUAGUGAAAUUAUUGAUAAUGUUACUUGUAGCAUGUUAUAUAAAUAUAGGAUGUGGAAUGGAGAGGAUGAGGAGGAAAAUAUGCAUGAAUAUUCAGCUAGCAUGGCUAAUUUGCACGUUUUAGGCUCAGGGACUAAAUUGAAUAAAAGUAAAACUUUAUGGGCAAUUUUGUAAAAAUGUUAGAAAUGACCAAUUUGCAUGAAAUGGAUUAUUUAAUUAUUUAAAAUUGCAAACUUGAAUGAAAUUAUUAACUUAGUUCAAGAUCGGGGAAAAACAUGUUUUAAGGAUUAAAUUGAAAAGUGUUGAAAUUAUGGAAAAUUAUGAUAUUUUAUAGAAUUCAUGGGUUGUUAUCAAUUUGUAUGAGAAUAACGGCUAGAAAUAAGGAUUAAAUUGCAAGAAUUUUAUUUUUUUGAGCCUAAAGAUGAAAUCAUCAUUAAUUAAAAAGUUUAGGGGCAAAAUGGUAAUUUUGUUUAGAGCAUUGAAUGUAUUAGAACAUGAAAUAAAUGAAAACGACGAUCAAAUUUAUUUAUAAAGAUUCGGAUGACUCGAAUACGAGACUUGAACGUGGAAAAGAAAAAAUAUCAGAUUAAUGAAAUUAUAAACAUGAACAAGCAGCGAGGUAAGUUAGUGUAACUUGAAUUGUAUUUUUAAAUGCAUGAAAUAUCGAUAUAAAGAAUUAUCCGAUUUAUUUUUAUGAAGAAAUGGCAAGAGAAUGAUAUUUAUCAUGGCAUGUAAAUAUGUGAUUAUCUUUGAAAUUCAGUAUAUUGAGACGAGUAAUAAAUUCAAGUAAAACAUGUCGAGAAAAAUAAGUACGUUUAAGGGACAAUAUGUUUGAUUUUAAUUGGUUCCAAAUAUGAACGUUAGAUGAAAUAAAAUAUCUGAUAAAUAAAUCGAUACCUCCGGUAAUGCUCCGUAACUCUAUUUCGGUGAUGGAUUCGGGUUAAGGGCGUUACACCCUUUUAACAUAGGGGGUGCUUUCCGCAGUGAGAGGUGCGAGUAGUUCUUCCUUUAGUGCAAGGUUUAUGUUCAUACAGCCAAGCACUAUAAGUAAGUGCCUUUUCCAUUCAUUGAAAUUAGUCCCAUUAAGCAUGGGUAUAGAAUUUAUAUUAGCGGAUAUUGUGGCAGUAAUAUGAAUUAACUGAAUAUAGAACAAAAAAUAAGUAAAAAUAAGCUCACAGCAAUAUUCAUAAGUAAACAAUAAAUUCAGGAUAAUGGUUAAUCCUAUCUCAAGAUACCAAACACAACAUUAAUAUCAAUUUUUUGGACGAUAAUAUUAACAGUAAGCGGUACUUUUGUUGUAGCAAUCAAACAUUGACAAUAAAUCAUGUCAAACAAUGAAUUAAUCUUUAGACUGACAUAUUGCUCACAUAAAGUACCUUAUAAUUGUCACACAUUUAUCGCCACAGAUGUCGUUGAAAUUCUGCCAAAUAUUAACUUACCUUUGGGUCAAUUAAUAAACGCAUGAAUUACAAAAAUAUAUAAUCAUCUUGCUAUUUUAAAUAAACUAAUCUACACAAAAGAGGUCACUUUGGCGGUAUUUUGUUUCAACUAAUUUAUUUAAAAAUACUAGACAUCCUUAAUUAAAACCUAAAGCCAAAAUCUGAAUUUAUUUGUUUCAAAAUAUUUCUUUUAAUUUCAUCUUUCAAUCAAAUUAAAAGAUAAUAGUAUAUAUAUGUAUAUAUAUAUUUACCCCAAAACAACAUACAAUGAUGUUGGCAAAUAUAAUAAUAGUUGAAUAAAUCUUAAACCAUAAACAACCUCACAUAAGACUUCAAAUUUAAACUAAAAUAAUUUGAAUAAAGAUAAACCUCAACUUAAGAUAUCGGACACUCCAUUAAUAUUUCAUCUUUGAAAAAAAUAUUAACUUGUAAGUGAUAUCUUGGUGUAGUAAUCAAACAUUGACAAUAAGAACAUGUCGAACAAUAAAUCUUCCUAUGAGCCAAUUUAUUACUCACAUGUAAAACCGAAUAAUCGUCACAUGUUUAUCACCAUAGUUGCACAUGUAAUAUUAUUAACCUUCAUUUGGGCCGAUCAAUAUCAACAUAACUUAAGUUACAUGCACACAAACUUUUAUAUUUUAAAACAAAAUAAUUUAUACAAAGAAAUCACUUUGGUGACUUUUUGCUUCAAUUAAGUUAUUUUAAAAUAUAUAUAAACAUACCAAUAUUCAAAUUUAAAUUUCCCCAAUAGUCAAAUGUUAAAACUAUUUUUUUAUUGCUUUAUAGACUCUAUGUAACACCCCCACGCCCGAAACUGUCACCGGAGUCAAGCUUGAGGUGUUACUAAACUUAUCUUACCUUUUAAACAACUCUAAACCACUUAUUUUAAUUUUUGGAAUAAACUAUUUUUCUGCGUCAUGGUUGCUUAAAAAUUCAUUUCUCGAGUUUCAAAACUCAAAAUUAAGAUCCGUAAAUUUUUCCUGAAACUAGACUCAUAUAUCUAUCUACUAAUUUUUUUCUAGAAUUUUUGACUCGGCCAAUUAGUACAGUUUAUUAGUUAAAGUUUCCCCUGUUUCAAAACUCAACUACACUGACCUCUUCUUACUACAAGCCAUGUUUCUUCCUGUAAAAAAAUUCAUAUGACUAAGCCGUUUGUUUCUCUCAAAACUAGAUUCAACAAGGAUUCUAACCAUAUAAAUUACACCUUCUAAUUAGUUUUGUACAAUUUAUGGUGAAUUUCCAAAUUUGAAACAGGGGAUCCAGAAAUCGCUCUGACCCUGUUUCACUAAAACUUAGAUAUCUCAUAAAAUAUAAUACCUUUACCUGUUUUUCUUAUUCCAUAAGAAAAUAUAUAUAAUAAGCUUUAAUUUCAUAUAUUAUUCAUCUUCAAACUAUGUUUCUGAAAUUUUUAGUGAUUUUUGAAAGUUACGUCAUUUCUGUUACUUGAAUCUGUUUUUAGGUUACUUUCACAUUUUUCAUAAUUUUCAUGUGAUAAUCAUCAAUCAAUCAUACAUAUUAAUAAAUAUGUAUAUCAUCGGCUAUUUUAUUAGCUAAUCACUAGCAAGUAUUUACACAUCAUUCAUUGUUCAUAUUAUACCAAAAGUAGCUAAGUUUCUAUACAUGCCAUACCCAAAACAAAACGUCUAGUUAUACCGAGUUAUUUCUUUGAUAGUGUGAUCGGCCUCCGACGUUUCCUUCGAUCCCCGAGUGACUAGAUAAGUACUAUAAGAAGAAGAAAAUAAAGAGAUUAAGCACUAGGCUUAGUAAGCUUACAAGCAAAUAAAUCACAACAUUCAACAUAAUGGAUAAUUAUGCAUAAUAUCAUCUAACAUCAUAAAUUUCUUUACUUCUCAAUUUGUAUCUUCUUCUUUAUUCCCUUACCUUCUUUCUUACUUGACCUUUCCUUUUUCAUAAGUAUAAUCUACUUUUCCUUUGCUGUUAAUUCACUGUAAUUUAACUCGUAUCCUGACCCGUUGAACCACUCGGAAUACUAAGGAUACUAGGGUCGUUCCUGUCUAUCAAUAUCCUGCCAAUGCCAUGUCUUUGACAUGGACUUACAUGAAUUAUUCCUGUCUCCAAUGCCAUAUAUAAUAUGGACUUACAUGGCUCAAUCCUGUCUCCAAAGCCAUAUUUCUAAUAUGGACUUACAUGGCUCAUUUCUGUUUUGUCCUGUCAACUCUAAUAUCCUAACAUUCCUAGGGUUCAACCGGGGCUUUCUAACACUUUUCCUCUGUCACUCCACCUUAAAUUCGACUUUACAUAUUUUCAUAACAUAAGUAUAUAAAUGCUGGAAAUUGACAAUAAUAAUGUAAAAUAAAAGAAUAUUGCAUUUAUUUACUGUAACUUACCUUGAUACAAAAUGUGACUAAACUUUACAAUUUAGUCCUUUACUUUUUCUUUUCCCCGAUCUACUCCCGAAUUUCGUUCUUCUUGAUCUAUAAUAGCAAAUUUAACUUAUUUAAUAUUCACAUUUAUUAAAACAGUCCUUGACCCAAACUUUUGCAAAAUUAUAUUUUUACCCCUAAACUUUCACAUAUUUGCACUUUUGCCCCAAGGCUCGUAAAUUAAACUUCAUCCUAUUUUCUUAUGUUUUAUGAUAUGCUGAUCAUUUUUCCCUUCUAUGGCAAUAUCAAAAUCACACUCUAACAUAUACUUAUGACUAUUGGUAUUUUUUUCCAAUUUAAGCCCUUUUACUCGUUUUCACUUAAAACCGAGUAGCAUAAGUUGUUUAACAUAAUUUAAAACCUCAUAUUCUAUCAUAAGACACCAAAAUACACAAACUUCAGUCAUGGGUAUUUUUCCAAAUAUGAACCCUAGGCUGAAUUAUUGCUAGAAUAAGCUUAAUCAAGUUACCGGGACUCCAAAAACGUAAAGAUCAUUAAAAACGGGGCUUGGAAUCACUUACUAUGAAGCUUGAAAGUUGAAGAAACCCCAGCUAUGGAGGAGAGCAAAAAUCGGCAGAAACUAAUUGAGAAGAUGACCAUUUUUGUGUUAUUUUUCCCUAUUUAAUUCAUUUAAUAUCCAAAUGACCAAAUUACCCCUCCUUACUAAACUUUCAAAAAUUCCUUCCAUGUCCUAAUUUUUGUCCAUGAACUUAAAAUUGGUCAAAUUGUUAUUUAAACCCUCCUAAUUAAUAUUCCAAAGUAAUUUCAUACUAAAAACUUCUAGAAUGCAAGUUUUGCAAAUUAUUCAAUUUAGUCCCUAACCUCAACUUAAGCAUUUUAUGCAUGGAAUUUCAUCACGAAAUUUUCACACAAUCAUGCAAUCAUACCAUGAACCUUAAAAUAAUAAUAAAAUAAUUUUUUCUACCUCGGAUUUUUGGUUUCGCAACCACUAUUCCGUUUAGGCCCUAUUUUGGGAUGUUACAUUUCUCCCCCCUUUUAGGGAUUUUCGUCCCGAAAAUCUUACCUGUGAAGAGAUUUGGGUACUGUUUUUGCAUAGCCUCUUCGGGUUCCCAUGUAGCCUCAUCUACCCCGUGUCUAUUCCAUAGUACUUUUACAAGUGCAAUAUUUUUAUUCCUUAAUUGCUUUACCUCUCGAGCUAGAAUCUUUGCCGGUUCUUCACCGUAAGUCAUGUCUGGCUGAAUCUCAACCUCUGUCUGAGAAAUCACAUGUGAUGGAUCUGAACAAUAACGACGUAGCAUAGACACAUGAAAUACAUUAUGAAUCUUCUCUAACUCAAUCGGAAAAACUAACCGAUAUGCUAAUGGUCCGACUCUCUCAAUUACUUCAAACGGUCCAAUAAAACGUGGACUUAGUUUGCCUUUCUUGCCAAAUCUGAGAACUUUCUUCCACGGGGAUACUUUCAGAAAAAACUUUGUCACCAACUUGAUAUUCGAUCUCUUUUCUUUUUAAAUCUGCGUACGACUUCUGCCUGUCUGAAGCUGCUUUUAAACAAUUUCUGAUAACUUUCACUUUUUCUUCUGUUUCUUUAACUAGAUCAACCCCGUAAAUCUGGCUUUCUUUAAGCUCUGUCCAAUAUAAAGGUGUACGACAUUUACGUCCAUACAAAGCUUCAUAAGGUGUCAUCUUCAAACUUGACUGGUAACUAUUAUUAUAGGCAAACCCUACCAAUGGUAAGUAUUUUUCCCAACUACCUUGAAAUUCUAAUACACAACAUCUAAGCAUAUCUUCAAGUACCUGAAUAACUCUCUCUGACUGACCGUCGGUUUGAGGAUGGAAAGUUGUACUAAAACUCAACUUUGUGCCCAAAGCCUCUUGUAAUUUCUUUCAAAACCGUGAAGUAAAUCUUGGAUCUCUGUCUGAAAUAAUCGAUAAUGGUACCCCAUGUAGCCUGACUAUCUCUGAAAUAUACAACUCCGCCAACUUGUCAAGUGAAUAAUCCAUACGAACUGGGAUAAAAUGAGCCGACUUCGUUAACUUAUCAAUCACAACCCAUAUUGCAUCUUUCUUUCUCGGUGUAAACGGUAAUCCUGUCACAAAAUCUAUAGUAACUGAUCCCAUUUCCAUUUCAGAACUAGCACAGGCUGCAAUAAUCCUGAGGGUACCUGAUGUUCGGCCUUUACCUGUUGACAAAUCAAGCAUCUAGAAACAAACUCUGAAAUAUCUCUUUUUAUUCCUACCCACCAAUACAAUUUUUUCAAAUCAUUAUACAUUUUUGUACUGCCUGGAUGAAUAGAUAAAGGACUGCUAUGUGCUUCCUGUAAAAUCUUCCGAAUAAGCUCAUCAUUCUUUAGUACACAUAUUCUGUCUCUAAACAUCAAACAACCAUCAGAACCAAUCCAGAAAUCUGAUUCUAUGCCUGACUCACAUUGAGCUCUUUUAGCUUGUAACUCAUUAUCAUCUUUCUAAGCUUCACAAAUCUCUUCAAGAAAUACCGGUUUAGCUCUCAAUUCAGCUAAAAUAGAACCAUCAUCUGACAUGGCUAAAUUGGUAUUCAAAGCUCGCAAUGUAAAUAAAAGUUUCCUACUUAAAGCGUCAGCAACUACAUUUACCUUACCUGGGUGAUAAUCAAUCACUAAUUCAUAAUCUUUAAGCAAUUCCAACCAUCUUCUUUGCCUCAAAUUCAAAUCUUUUUGAGUCAUCAAGUAUUUCAAGCUUUUAUGAUCGGUAAAUAUCCGCCACCUUUCACCAUACAAAUAAUGUCUCCAAAUCUUCAAUGCAAAUACAAUAGCAACUAGCUCUAAAUCAUGUGUCGGAUAAUUUUUCUCAUGUGGCUUCAAUUGUCUAGAGGCAUAAGCAAUUAUCUUUCCUUCCUGCAUGAGUACACAACCGAGCCCAUUCAAGGAUGCAUCACUGUAAAUCACAAAUUCUUUACUCGGUUCCGGCUGUACUAAGAUAGGAGCUUCCGUCAACAAUGCCUUUAACUUGUCAAAACUUUGUUGGAACUUCUCAGUCCAUUCAAACUUAACAUCCUUCCGUAGCAGUCUCGACAACGGGGUAGCUAUCAUGGAAAAUCCCUCCACAAAUCGUCUAUAAUAUCCGGCAAGACCAAGAAAACUUCUAACUUCUGAUACAUUUCUAGGAAGCUUCCAAUCAACAAUGGCUAAAAUCUUGCUCGUAUCAACCUUAAUACCUUCACCUGAGACAAUAUGUCCAAGAAAACCAACUUCUCGUAACCAGAACUCACUUUUGCUGAACUUGGCAUACAACUGAUUACCUCUCAGAAUUUGUAAAACUGUUCUCAAAUGCUCUGCAUGCUCAGUCUCAUCAUGAGAAUAAAUCAAAAUAUCAUCAAUGAACACAACUACAAACUUAUCUAAAUACGAUCUGAAAAUUCAGUUCAUUAAGUCCAUGAAAAUGGCAGGAGCAUUAGUCAAGCCAAAUGGCAUCACAAGGAACUCAUAAUGACCAUACCUAGUCCGAAAAGCAGUCUUCAGGACAUCUGACUCUUUAACUCGCAACUGAUAGUAUCCGAAUCUCAAAUCUAUCUUGGAAAACACAGUAGCUCCCUUCAAUUGAUCAAACAAAUCAUCAAUUCUAGGCAAUGGAUACUUGUUCUUUACUGUUACCUUGUUAAGUUACCGAUAAUCUAUGCAUAAUCUCAUCGAUCCGUCUUUCUUUUUCACAAAUAGCACUGGUGCACCCCAUGGUGAACUACUGGGUCUUACCAAGCCUUUAUCUGUUAAUUCUUGCAACUGAGCUUUCAAUUCUUUCAAUUCCAACGGAGCCAUUCUAUAAGGAGCAAUAGAAAUGGGCGUGGUACCUGGAAUCAACUCAAUACCAAACUCAACUUCUCUAACAGGAGGCAAACCUGGUAGUUCUUCCGGAAACACAUCGGGAAACUCACAUACCACAGGCACUGAUUCAAUUUUCAAUUCUGGAUCCUUAGUGUUUAACACAAAAGCAAGAUAAGCUUCAUACCCUUUUCUCAAACAUUUCUGAGCAGACAUAACAGAAAUUAUGGGAAAUAAACUAUCUGACUCUUCUGAAUUAACCCGAAGAAUUUCACCAUUUUCACACUUCAACUCAAUGAAUUUCUUUCUACAAUUCACUAUCACAUCAUGUGUAGUCAAUCAAUCCAUACCAAGAAUCACAUCAUACUCAUCAAAUGGCAAUAGCAUGAGAUCAGCAGGAAAACAGUAGCCUCUAAUCAUUAAAGGACAAUUUCUACAUACUUUAUCUACUAAUACAUGCUUGCCUAAUGGAUUCGAUACUUUAAUCACAAAUUCUGUAGAUUCUAUAGGCAUACUUAUACUAGGCAUCAAUUUCAUACAAACAUAAGAAUGAGUCGAACCCGGAUCAAUCAGAGCAAUGACAUUAAUAUCAUAUAGAGAAAAUGUACCCGUAAUCACAUCGGGGGAGGAUGCCUCUUCGCGUGCACGAAUAGCAUAAGUCCUUGCAGGGGCUCUAACAUCUGGUCUCACAGCCGAAUCUCUAAAGGUACCUCUGUUACUUGCUCCUACUCCCGGUUGCCUCGGUGAUCUGCCUCUAGUAGGAGCAUUUCCGGAUCUAGCACUCUGUGUUACUUCUCGGCUAGCCACUUCUGGACAUUCUCGUACAAAAUGAUCUGGAGCACCACAUUUAUAGCAAACAUUUUCGCCUGCCCGACAAGGACCAUAAUGAAGUCUACCACACCGUGGACACCCUGAUCUACCCUGUCUGACAUUACCUACACUCGUAGUCGAGGUGGUCUGAGCCUUCGGAUCCUUAAAUCUGUUACCUCUAUUCUGACUAGAUUGCCCUGCUGAAAAGCUAGAUCUGGUAGAAAACUCCACUGACAGUCGGAUAUCAUCAUUUAACCCAUCCUCAAACCUUUUACACAUGAUAGCCUCUGUGGACACACAUUCUCGAGCAUAUUUACUAAGCCUGACAAAUUCGCGCUCAUAAUCGGUCACUGUCAUAGUACCUUGUUUCAAUUCCAAGAAUUCCUUUCUCUUCUGGUCAAUAAACCUCUGACUGAUGUACUUUUUACGAAAUUCCUCCUGAAAGAAAUCCCAAGUGACCCUCUCCUUUGGUACAACUGAUACAAGUGUCUUCCACCAGUAGUAGGCUGAGUCUCUAAGAAGUGAUACUACACAUUUCAUACAUUCCUCGGGUGUACAAGAUAAUUCGUCAAAGACUCUGAUAGUAUUUUCUAACCAAAAUUCUGCUCUUUCUGCAUCAUCAUCUUUUGUUGCUCGGAACUCUUCUGCCCUUUGUUUCCUGAUUCUAUCAACUGGUGGCUUUUCUCUUACCACUGUACCUGUGACUGGGGAAGCUUGAGCUACAUGGGUAGCCUGAGAAUCAUGAGGGGGUGGAGGUCUAACUGCCGGAUUCGUACGAACGAACUCGGCAAACAAAUCAUUCAAAGCUCGGAAGAGAGCUUCUCGAGUCACUCCUCCCUGAUCAACUAUUACUGGCCUAUUCUCAGAUGGCGCUGCCCCUUCUAUGGGAGCAGGCGCAUUACUUUCUACAUCAUCAUCACCAGCUCGUCCGGGAUCCAUUACUAUAAAACAAAAUAUUUAAAAAUCGUCAGGAGUCGUCACACUAUCAAAAUACAAGUAUGGCAUGUAUAGCUAGACUUUUUCUCACACUAACUGUUCCGAGAACCGACUAAACCUGCUCUGAUACCAAUAAUGUAACACCCCCACGCCCGAAACCGUCACCGGAGUCAAGCUUGAGGUGUUACUAAACUUAUCUUACCUUUUAAACAACUCUAAACCACUUAUUUUAAUUUUUGGAAUAAACUAUUUUUCUGCGUCAUGGUUGCUUAAAAAUUCAUUUCUCGAGUUUCAAAACUCAAAAUUAAGAUCCAUAAAUUUUUCCUGAAACUAGACUCAUAUAUAUAUCUACUAAUUUUUUUCUAGAAUUUUUGACUUGGCCAAUUAGUACAGUUUAUUAGUUAAAGUUUCCCCUGUUUCAAAACUCAACUACACUGACCUCUUCUUACUACGAGCCAUGUUUCUUCAUGUAAAAAAAUUCAUAUGGUUAAGCCGUUUGUUUCUCUCAAAACUAGAUUCAACAAGGAUUCUAACUAUAUAAAUUACACCUUCUAAUUAGUUUUGUAUAUUUUAUGGUGAAUUUCCAAAUUUGAAACAGGGGAUCCAGAAAUCACUCUGACCCUGUUUCACUAAAACUCAGAUAUCUCAUAAAAUAUAAUACCUUUACCUGUUUUGCUUAUUCCAUAAGAAAAUAUACAUAAUAAGCUUUAAUUUCAUAUAUUAUUCAUCUUCAAACUAUGUUUCUGUAAUUUUUAGUGAUUUUUGAAAGUUACGUCAUUUCUGUUACUUGAAUCUGUUUUUAGGUUACUUUCACAUUUUUCAUAAUUUUCAUGUGAUAAUCAUCAAUCAAUCAUACAUAUUAAUAAAUAUGUAUAUCAUCGGCUAUUUUAUUAGCUAAUCACUAGCAAGUAUUUACACAUUAUUCAUUGUUCAUAUUAUACCAAAAGUAGCUAAGUUUCUAUACAUGCCAUACCCAAAACAAAACGUCUAGUUAUACCGAGUUAUUUCUUUGAUAGUGUGAUCGGCCUCCGACGUUUCCUUCGAUCCCCGAGUGACUAGAUAAGUACUAUAAGAAGAAGAAAAUAAAGAGAUUAAGCACUAGGCUUAGUAAGCUUACAAGCAAAUAAAUCACAACAUUCAACAUAAUGGAUAAUUAUGCAUAAUAUCAUCUAACAUCAUAAAUUUCUCUACUUCUCAAUUUGUAUCUUCUUCUUUAUUCCCUUACCUUCUUUCUUACCUGACCUUUCCUUUUUCAUAAGUAUAAUCUACUUUUCCUUUACUGUUAAUUCACUGUAAUUUAACUCGUAUCCUGACCCAUUGAACCACUCGGAAUACUAAGGAUACUAGGGUCGUUCCUGUCUAUCAAUAUCCUGCCAAUGCCAUGUCUUUGACAUGGACUUACAUGAAUUAUUCAUGUCUCCAAUGCCAUAUAUAAUAUGGACUUACAUGGCUCAAUCCUGUCUCCAAAGCCAUAUUUCUAAUAUGGACUUACAUGGCUCAUUUCUGUUCUGUCCUGUCAACUCUAAUAUCCUAACAUUCCUAGGGUUCAACCGGGGCUUUCUAACACUUUUCCUCUGUCACUCCACCUUAAAUUCGACUUUACAUAUUUUCAUAACAUAAGUAUAUAAAUGCUGGAAAUUGACAAUAAUAAUGUAAAAUAAAAGAAUAUUGCAUUUAUUUACUGUAACUUACCUUGAUACAAAAUGUGACUAAACUUUACAAUUUAGUCCUUUACUUUUUCUUUUCCCCGAUCUACUCCCGAAUUUCGUUCUUCUUGAUCUAUAAUAGCAAAUUUAACUUAUUUAAUAUUCACAUUUAUUAAAACAGUCCUUGACCCAAACUUUUGCAAAAUUAUAUUUUUACCCCUAAACUUUCACAUAUUUGCACUUUUGCCCCAAGGCUCGUAAAUUAAACUUCAUCCUAUUUUCUUAUGUUUUAUGACAUGCUGAUCAUUUUUCCCUUCUAUGGCAAUAUCAAAAUCACACUCUAACAUAUACUUAUGACUAUUGGUAUUUUUUUCCAAUUUAAGCCCUUUUACUCGUUUUCACUUAAAACCGAGUAGCAUAAGUUGUUUAACAUAAUUUAAAACCUCAUAUUCUAUCAUAAGACACCAAAAUACACAAAUUUCAGCCAUGGGUAUUUUUCCAAAUAUGAACCCUAGGCUGAAUUAUUGCUAGAAUAAGCUUAAUCAAGUUACCGGGACUCCAAAAACGUAAAGAUCAUUAAAAACGGGGCUUGGAAUCACUUACUAUGAAGCUUGAAAGUUGAAGAAACCCCAGCUAUGGAGGAGAGCAAAAAUCGGCAGAAACUAAUUGAGAAGAUGACCAUUUUUGUGUUAUUUUUCCCUAUUUAAUUCAUUUAAUAUCCAAAUGACCAAAUUACCCCUCCUUACUAAACUUUCAAAAAUUCCUUCCAUGUCCUAAUUUUUGUCCAUGAACUUAAAAUUGGUCAAAUUGUUAUUUAAACCCUCCUAAUUAAUAUUCCAAAGUAAUUUCAUACUAAAAACUUCUAGAAUGCAAGUUUUGCAAAUUAUUCAAUUUAGUCCCUAACCUCAACUUAAGCAGUUUAUGCAUGGAAUUUCAUCACGAAAUUUUCACACAAUCAUGCAAUCAUACCAUGAACCUUAAAAUAAUAGUAAAAUAAUUUUUUCUACCUCGGAUUUUUGGUUUCGCAACCACUAUUCCGUUUAGGCCCUAUUUUGGGAUGUUACAGAAAUAACCCAAAAUAAGGUUGUCUUAAUAAUGCAAUAAAAAACUGAAAACCUUAAUUUUUUUUGACUAUUUCUUUUUUUGUUCCAAAACCAUAUAUAUCGAAACCAAAUAGAAAUAAUGUAGUGGUUCAAAGCUAAAUAAUUAACAAGCACAUGUAUUCAUAAUUUUGGCAUGGAUAAAAACACCAAAGCAAUUCACACAUAUACAUGUAUUCAUAAUCAAAUAGAAAAACUUACCUGAAUUUACCAUGUAAAUCUAAAGUUGUAUUUAUGAUUAAACAGAUAUUCACAUAAAUACUUGAAAAAUAUUUUCAAGCCAAUAAAUCUCAAAAACAAAAUCAUAAUAGUUGGCAUAUCCCACAAUUCAUACAAUAAACCAUAUCAUCAUAAUCUAACCAAAUAUUUGGAACCAUAAGAUGCCAAAACCUAAAAUUAUAGAACCAAACUUAAAACCAAAUUAUUUAAAUAUGAAUAUAGUUGACAUGAAUUUGCACCAAAGCACCCGUAGAAUUGAAUAUAUAACCAUAGCAAUAAUAAUAAUAAUAAUAAUAAUAAUAAUAAUAAUAACAAUUUCAACAAUAUCCAUCAUAACUUAAUUUCACCAAUUAAACUAUAAAAGAUAUCUUACUGAAUAAUGGUUAUAAACACCUAUUCAUGCCAACUAUAAUCAUGCAUUAAUCCUCCAAAUCAUUUAUAUGCAUAUAAUAUAUAUACACACAAUAUAUACACACAAUUAUAUCAUUUAUAUAAUAAAAAAAUAAUACUGGUUUGUCUUACAUAUUUCAUGUAAACUAAAAUUUAUAUUAAUGACUAAAGACAUUAACAUAAAACUCAUUUAUACGCACAAAUACUUAAAAAAAACCAUAACCACCAAAUAUAAAAGAAUCCCAAAUUGUAUAAAAGCCUUCAUAUGCACAACCACUUUUGAAAAUUCAUAGCCACCAUAUUAAAAAAAAUCUCAAACAUUUUAAUUUUAGUCGAGUUCUAUAAGGACUAAAACUUAUAUAAAAUAAUUAUAGCAGGAACCAAAAGUAAUCAUUUGUAUAUAUGAAUUGAAUUCAAAGGUGAAUAUAAUUCAUCAUGAAUUAAGACAAAAGAUGAUAUUUUCAUAUACAUUCAACCACAAAUAAAAAAUUUAAAACAAAUAGUGUGAAAAAAAAACAUCUUAACAACUUUCAUUUAUUCAUUAUUAAGCAUAAUCAUGAGCAAAAGCAUAAUAUACAAAUAGCAAACUAGAUUUUAACCUCAGGCAGCUUGUAUUUUGCGUUGUUUUAUAUGCGCAUACAUGCUAAAACAAGCAAAAUAAUUGACAUACACUACAGCAAAAUUGACUUUUAGCGGCGUUUUUUUAGGCUUUUAGCGGCGCUUUUAAGCGCCACUAAAACUACUCGCGGCGUUUUUACAAGCGCCGCAAAAAACGCCUUUAUAGAUGGCACCACUAAAUUUUGCGGCAUUUAUUUGAAAAAAACGCCGCUAAAGGUCAGGACCUUUAGCGGCGCUUUUCCCACAAACGCCGCUAAAGGUCAUAAAAAUUAAAAAAAUAUAUAUUAUAAAAUAUUGUAAAAGUCCUGAAAAAUAUAAAAAAAUUAAAAUUCAUUAUCAAAAUAUUGAGAAGAAGAAUAAUCUAUGAUAUAAAUACAUCCCGCCAAACAAAAUACCGCACUUAUACACCAGAAAUCUAACAAAAUACAAAUAGAACAAAAUAAGGAUGAAUGAAAGACAUUAAUGAUAUAUAAAAUCAUUGUUUCUAAUGCAUAUGUAGAAAUCAAGCCAUGGUGUGCACCAAGGAUCCGGCUCUCGUAAUAGCACCAGGCCUUGAUCAAAAUAUUACUGCGUUUGAAAAUAUGAUCUUUUCCAAUUAGCUGGUCAACCUGAAAAACAAACAGUUCAAAAGAAGUCAUGUGUCAAUUAAACUUGCCACCCUUGAUAUUGCUAUAGGAAUUAAUGCAUGGAGAGUGAUGGAGAUGGGAUUGGGGAUUCCUCAAGGCUGCAGCAGUAAACUUAAGCAACAGUGUGGGAAAAGGUGAAAUGAGAGAUUUUAGACUAAAUCCAAAGCAUUAAUUUCUAUUAAAUGAAAACAAACAAACAAAUAUAAUUGUUAAAGAAACAUUAAUUUCUCUUAAAUCCGGUAAAAUCUUAAAGGAUUUAGAAAUGAAUGAAAUAUAAGGGGGAAAAGAAAGAGGAAAAGCUAAAAUUCACUCUGUCGGUUAGUAGUGAUAUGGAAGACAAAAAGGAUAAAACACCACAUACCAAACGAAGAUCAUAAAACUACUAAGAAUUUAAUGCCAGAAAAUGAAACAAUGUACCAUUUAGAAUUAUACUUUUGAAUCAUCUUUUGCAUCAAGUGAUUUAUAUGAAUUAUGAUUACCACAUCCACAAUGUUUGGAAUGGAAACGGAUUCUAAACAUAUAAAUGCUGGAUAGGAUUAGAUGAUACCUUCUCCAGAAAGCAAAGUGCAGAUAGACCAGCCGUUUGAUUGAAAGAGAUGUCCACCGGUAUGUCAUUCACAGUGCAUUUCACUAUUUUAACCUGAAAUCAAAUUCCAAAAUAACCGAAAUGAGCUCAAGAUGAUUUUAAGCUAUAUUUGCUGCUUACGUACAUAUACUAAUAUGCAAUAAAUACCAUUUAACUGCACGGGAACAACGACAAAGAUGCAGCUGAAAAUUUAAUAUCAGCAUAAUAGCACAAAUAGAAGUUGUUGCCAAGUGUCCAACAGCAUAUGACUUAUGUGGUUUUAUUCAAUAUCAGUUAAGCACCUAGUCGUUUGCUACCCUAAUUUCCGUUAUCUACAUUACAGGAACGUCUUUUAAAUUUUUACACGUGACAGAAAGUUAUAAAGGGUGCUACCUUAAUCGAUUAGCAUUGGGAUGCAGUUUCGAUGCUAUGUCCAAUAAAAGCGAAGUUAAGGAAAGAAAUAAAUCAGAUGAAAAACACAAUCCUUUAAUUAAAUAAUAUUUAAAUAAUUAUUAUAUUUAUAAUAAUAUUUAAAUAAAUUAAUCCAAAUUAUAUAAUUUAAAAAAUUGUGUAUAAAAAGUUGAAAACCAUAUAAAAUGAAAUGUUAAUUUUGUUCCAUGAAAAAAUAAAAAUAAAAAUAAUACACGUAAUGCAUAUAUUCAAAAAUGAAAUACAUGAGAAAAACUUCAAAACAAAAAUUAAUGACAAAAAAAAUCAUAAUAUUUAGUCAUGUAUAAUACACAGAAGUUUAUUACUGAAAAAUGAAAAAGCAUAAUACACAGAAGUUCUCACUUCAUAUAUCAUCAAACUAUAGAUGGUUAAGAAUGUCAGUGUCAAAUCAAGAAGGAAAAACUAAUAUAUUAAGAACUAAAACUCUACAAAAUUAAGCUUAGUUAAAAGUAGACAUGGUUGAUAGCAGAAGAUGAUGUAACAUAAGUCACAAACUAUACACUGUUUCUUAACUUUGUCAUAAAUAUUAGCACAAAAGAAAAAAGGGAAAUGCAGUUAAACAACUUGCUAUUUACAUUCAAAUUUAAAGACCCAUACGAUAGAGUCUAAAAUAGCAAGCAUACCCAACUCUCCUUUCCUGAAAGGUUCUAAACAAUUCAUUUUCUUCUACUUCGAACCCCACACCUUUGUCCAAAACAGGGACUGGAAUAACAUUUAGCCCAUACACAAGAAUUGAUCUAAAUUCAUGCUAAUAACAUCAUCAAGAGAUCAAGGGUGCCAAUUUCAAAGUGAAUAAAAGUUCCAACAUACCACUGCCAGUUGUUCUGCCAUGAAAUGGUUCACUUCCUCAAAGCUAAAGUUUCUUGUCUCAUACUCUCUUCCUGCCAAUAUUAUCAAGACUGAUCAAACGAACAAAUCCAACAUUUAAAUUUAUUUCAUUGGUAUUAUCAGAAGAAAGGCAUUGUGUACCAAUGAGUUUGAUAACAACAUUAGCCUUUGCUAUCACAGCCUUGAUUGAAUUUUCAUCCCUUGGAUCGUAUUUCAUUGGCACUAUCUAAUAAAGAGAAAUAUCAAAUUAAAACCAAAUAAAACACAAUAAGCACUUCAAUAUGAAUUCAAAGAAAGAAGGGGAAAAACGCAAUUCCAUAAGGUAUGCAACCUGUCCUAAAUCUCCCAUCAACUUGAGAUGACGAGGGUUAUCCUCGGAACCUCUGAAGGGAACUAACACCUGAGAUCCCAUUUUAGCUAAAAUAAAAAGAAAAAAAAUCAGUAUACACAAAUAAACCUUAAAACAACAACAACAAUAGCAGCAAGCUCUCUGUAAUGUACACAUUAAGGCAAAACAAUGUACAAUUAUAACUACAAGAUUAAGUUUAAAUUACCCAGUUAUUGUACAAGAUAACAACCAAGGAAUCCAGUAGCGUCGAAAACAGUAGCUAUAAUGCCACUGCAGGGGAAGGGAAAAUCAUUUGACAUUCAAAGAGAAAACUUUUAAAGAUAAAAGUUCAAAUCCCAAAAAAAGGACCUGACGGAAGAUCGGCCAUCGGUGCCCUUGCGAACGAGGUGCCCAUGCCCUUGUGGGAAGCCAGUGUAGAUCCGUAUCGCUGAUGAUCACCUCCAUAGUCUGAAAAGGAAAAUCGAUAGUAAAUGAUUUAUAACACUUCGAUAAAAGGUAAAAGAAAAAAAACCCAUCAAUUUGUUGCAAAUGUUAAACACCAUUAGAAAGAAGAAGAAAAGAUAAAUUGGAGAAAAUAAAAAGAGGGAAUGGAAAUGUUACAGUGAUCGGAGAGAGGGUAAAUAGACUUGAUAGAAGAGAUUGAAGCAGUUGGCCUCAGAGAUUGGAAUAGUUAAAACAAUUGAAGACUCAGGGAUGGAAUUAGGACUCGGCGGAAACGAUGGCAGUGGCAGUGGCAGUGGCGUUUACCGUCUGGACGCUUGCACUUAUGCUUCUCGAAAUCAAAGACUGAAUAAGGAUUAAGAAAAGUUCUGCAGAGAAAAAUCUAGGGUUCCAAAUUUGGGCGUUUAAGAAUCGAGGUUGAGGUAGAAAAAAUGGCAAUGGGCAUGGAGUUAAAAGUUCUGAAUGAGCAAAAGAGUAGUUAAAUUUUAUUUGGGGGAUUUAGGAUGAGAAGAAGAGGGAGUAACGAGCGGGUAAGCAAAAGUCCUUUUUUGAGUGAGCGGGAUUUUGAUUUUUUUGGGUAAAAAAAUGGCUUUUUGUGGUGUUCUUAAAAAAAAAGCCACUACGCCACUAUAGCUUAUUUUUUAUGCCAUUAUUGCUUAAUUUUAAUUUUUUUUCAUAUUUAACAUAUUUUUUCUAUUUUUUUUCAAAAUUUUUGUGUUGAGAUUAUCAUUUUUUGGAAUUUUUUUAAUUUUGAAUAUUGAAUUUUUUAACUGAAAUAUGGAAUAAAAUAUUAAAUUUUAAAAUUUUAAGUUCCUUAUUUUUUAAUUUUUAAUUUUUUAUUUUAAAUUUUAAAUUUUAAAUUUUUUUGAAUAUUUUUAUAAUUUUUAAACUAUCAUAUAAAAUACAAAAGAAAACUUUAACAGAAAUAAAAUGAAAUCGAUGAAUUAAAAAAAUAUAAAAUGACACAGCAAUACAAACAUUAUUCUUUUAAGUAUGGUCCACAUUAGUUGUUUAGAUUUUUAUAUAAAUGACAUUUAAUUUUGAUAGAGAUACAUCUCAGAAUUAUAUAUGAAUUUCGAUUUAAUGUGUAAUUGUAGACGUGAAAUUCUAAUUGUGGUUUAAAUGUAUAGUCGAAACUUUAAUUUUGAUUUAAUCAUACACAUUUUAAAAAAUAAAUACAUCAAAAUAUUUUUAUAUUGAAUAUAUAUAAAAAUUUAUGUAUGCAAUAUAUAAAUAUAAAAUGAUAUUAUAUUAAUAAUUGUGUUAAUAAUUCACAAGAACUGGAUCAAAUUAAAGUUCAUGUAUACAACUGCACACUAAAUCCUAAACCCUAAACCCUAAAUCAUAAACUUUAAAAUAGUAACUCAUAAACAUUAAACCCUUAACCAUAUACCCUAAACUAUAAUGAUAAUUAAUUUAAUAUUUUAAAAUUAAUAUUAUCUCUUUUACAAUUAUAUAAGAAAAUAUUUAUCAUAUAAAUUAAAAAACACUAAUUAAUCUAAUCUCUAAUCUCUAAACCCUAAACCCUAAAACAUAAACAAUUAACCUUGAACCCCUAACCCUUAACCCCCGACCCCUAAGCCUUAAACCCCUAAAGCUCAAACCCCAACCCUUAAACCAUAAACCAUAAACCAUAAUCCCUAAACCCAUAAUCCAUAAACUUUAAAAUAGUAACUCAUAAACCUUAAACCCUUAACCAUAUACCCUAAAUCAUAAACCCUAAACUAUAAUGAUAAUUAAUUCAAUAUUUUAAAAUUAAUACUAUCUCUUUUACAAUUAUAUAAGAAAAUAUUAACAUAUAAAUUAAAAAACAAUCAGUCAUAUACCAAAAAUCUUUAAAAUUAUUUUAAAUAAUAGUAUUUUAAUUUUUUUCAUUUUUAACAAAUACUUUUACUUUCAAAUUUUUUUUACGUGUCAUUAUUUUUUUCUGAAAAAUUUAAAUAUUCAAUUAAAAAUAAAUUGUAUUAAAAUGAACCACUUAAAUUAAAUAGAUAGAUGAAAUGUUUUUUGCGGCGUUUUUCAAAAAGCGCCGCUAAUACUCGAUAUAUAAAACAACGGUGUUUUGCAAAACUUUUUGCGGCGCAGUUGGCAUAAUUUUUUGCGGCGUUUUUUUAAAAAGCGUUGCUAAAGGUUACCUAUAGCAGCGUUUUUUAAAAAGCGCUGCUAAUGCUUAUCUUUAGAGGCGUUUUUCAAAAGCGCCGCUAAAGCCGCGGCAGUUUAGCAUAAUUUUUUGCGGCGUUUUUUUAAAAAGUGCCGCUAAAGGUGACCUAUAGCGGCGUUUUUUAAAAUGCGCCGUUAAUGCUUGAUCUUUAGCGGCAUUUUUCAAAAAGCGCUGCUAAAAACCUAUUUUGGUGAAGUGAUAAUGCCAUAAAAAUUAAUCUAAAAUGAAUUAUUAGAUUUGCAGAAUUAAUCUAAAAAUUAUGAAUCUAGAUUUACAUAUAAUAAAUCAAGAUUAUCAAGAAUGUUAUAUUAUGCAAUUGCAAUUAAAACAUUCUAAACAAGAAAAUCUUAAAAGAUCAAAACCAUAUUUAAUCCAAGAUUCAUUGUUGAAUGGAAAUCAAAUAAAAAAUAACCCUAAGAAGAUUGAAUCAUAACUAUCCAAAACCUAAAAAAUAUUUACAAGAAUUUCAAAGAUUCAACAUAGAAAUAUCAAAUCUAUAAGAUCUAAAAAACGAAUCAAUCCAAAAUAAUAGAGAAUUAAUUCAUUCCAAAAAGAAUAGAAACUUAAUCAAUUUCCAAUGAUUCAACAUGACGAGGCUCGGAUGCCACUUGUUGGAUUUGUAAAAUAAAUCUGAAAUAAAACUUAAUAAACCAGGAUCUAUCAUGUCAAAUCAUCAAGAAUAAAUCAAGAAAAAAACUAGAUGCGGAAGCGUACCUGAAUCCAUAAAUUCCUUGAAGUUUUACUGGAUCUUGGGGAUUUGAUCUUCCAAAUUAGAACAUAAGAAAUUCAGAGAAUAGCUGCUCUCUUUUUCCUAAUGAUGGGAUAUUAGAAAAGAUAUCUUGUGUAUAAUUUGGGGACCAUAACCCUAAUAUUUAUAACCUUAGCAUAUUAGUUCUAAUCAAAUUCUAAUUAGCCCAUCAUUAAUCAUAAUUUGAUUAGAAUUCAAGUACUAGAGUAUCUACACAUAUUUGACCCAUCCUUUAUUUAAUAAUUGAAACCCAAUAAAAUUUUAACCAAAUUAGAUCACUCUUAAUUUGGGCUAACAUAUCAUGAUAAUAAAUAAUAACAUGUAAUUACCCUUAUUAUAUAUGUGAUGUCCAUAUUUUCCAACAAAAUAUUUUUGUAAUUUUUCGAACCGAGUUGAUGUCUGGUUAACUCGUAGCACCAACUCAACCAAGGGUUUAAAUAAUAGUAUAGGUCAUUACAUUUUAAUUAAUUUUUAGAAUAAGUAUGUUUUGGAAUUAUUUCUAAAAAUAUGUUUUUUUGAUGCACCUCAAUAGUCAAAACUAAUAACUAAUUUCCCUAAACUUUAGACCCCUAAUUUCAACAAAGUGUAUAAUUGUUGAAAUGUCCAUUUGUUGGUCUAAGCGGCAAAUGCAAAGCACCAAGAUCAUUUUUUAUGCACUAAAUCAUCCACAGUGUUAUUAUAUUGGUUUACCUCAAAUAAAACAUUUUUUACUGAUCCCCAUUGUUUCUACUACAAUAGAAAAUCUUACACAUGGCCCUUAACCUAACAUUAGACAACUCGAUGGUUUUCGUUAAUCAUCGUGCUUAAACAAACUCAUAAAAAGUUUACAUGUAUAAUUGAGAAACCUUAACCCAUCUUCUUAAACUAUAAAUCCCCAGAGUCGUGGGUUGAGUAAGCUAGAAACCAUGGGGGAUUUUUUUUGAACUUGGCAUCUUUUUCAAAUAACAGAAAAACCCUAACUUAUUUUCCUAAACCUUAACCCCAAAAGUUUAAUCCCCUAACAAAACCUUAGACACUAAAUAAAACAUUUAAUAAAAUCCCAUCAAAUUCUUUCUUCUAAGGGUUUUUAUGCAUCUCUAACUUCAAUAAAAAGUAACCUCAACUCUCAUAUUCAAAUGCCUUUUGUGAUAAUGGAUUUCCUCAAGUGUUGGAGUGCCAAUUGAGUAUGAAAGCUUCUUUUAAACUAACUUUAAAUAGGCUAUAGGGUUUAUGAUAAACCUUGUUUAUGAUUAGUAUGAAAGAUUUCACUAUAUCAAAACAAUGUUUCAACACUUGUGGGAAACCAUGAUCUAAAUCAAGAGAGUUCAAGUUUUCCUUGAUUGAAGUUAGAUUUUGGUCGAAAUCAUUUAUCUAAAAGUGAUAGUAGCCAGAAUAAGUUGGAGGAAAAUAAUUUUAAAAGACUUUAUCAAAAUUUUAAUUUAAGGUUUAAGGUUUGAGGGAAAAUGGUAAAUAUUUAAGGGUUAAAAGAUUUUGGUUUGGGGCUAGAAGGAAAAGGUUAAGGUUCAACUCCUGUUCAUUAGGUAAACUGACUACAAUCUUGACACCCAUGGGUUGUUCAGCUUUAGUCAUAAUAAAAUGCAAACAAAUACAUAACAAACAAUUGUUCAUCUUUCAAAAUCAAAGCUAACCACUAUUUGAAGAUGUUGGGUCUAGUACCCUAAAUCUAGUAUAUUCAUUUUGUAUAGUUGUAUUUUUUGAGAAAAUUGGUUUAAUAAAAAUAUCAAUUGAUUACAUUAAUAGCCUUUGUCUAUUAUCCUCAAUGAUUUUGUAUGCAAAGUAAAAUGGAAAUAAAAAUUGGCUCACUAGUUAUCUAACAUUUAACUAAUACUAAAUCGUAUUACGUGGUAAGAUAGUAAUACAGAAAGACAACUUGUAUUAGUAGAAAAACCUAAAUAAGUCCUUAGUCUAAUUGUAAAUGAGCAAACCGGUUUAAAGACUUAAGUCGUCUAGUAAGUCCAAUUAGGGAGAUGCUUUGUCUUGAGCAUCAGAAUGAAGGACUCCUAGAAGAUAGAGACAUAGAUGUCACUGAAUAGACUGACAAUAUAUUGGACAGGACCUAAGUAGGAUAGAUCCUAGAUUAAUUUAUGAAUUUAUUCACUUGAGACAUUCAUAGUGUGGCAUACCUUAAUCUUGAUUAGAUGAUGGACUAUGCAUGUGUGAAUCGUAUACUUUGAUGGAAGUAAAAGCUUGAAUUCAAAUAAAUAAGGAACCGAAAAUUGGUAUAUUGCGUAUACGGCUUCUACAACAUAUAGCAUCAUUCACAAUAGUGGAAUUCAUAGCCCAAAUAAUAGGUAAAUGAUAUCCUCUCAUUGGUAUUACAUGAUAUAUGAAAAGGAAACGUGGCCACGAGUCAUUUGUCUUUGUGAUAAAUGACUUGAUUACUAUUUAAUAGUACUAGGGUGUAAUACCCCUAACCCCUAUCUGUCGCUGAAACAGGGUCACAGAGUAUUACCAGAGUUUACAGAUCAAUUACAAAAAAUUUCAUAUCAUUUACUAUUAAUAUCUGAAAUUUAUCAUAUCAUCUCUUAAAUGGGUCCUCGAGGCCCAAAAUACACGUUAGAAUCAAAUCAAGACUAAAUUGGAAACUCAAAAAAAUUUUCGUGAAAUUUUAAAAUUUAUCUUACGUACAAGGGACACAGCCUGUGUGGUCAGGCCAUGUGGCUCACAUGGCCAGGUGACACGCCUAUUUCUUAGGCCGUGUGGGUAUUCAAUGUGAAACACACGACUGUGUCCCAGCCCGUGUUCAAAUUAGGGUAGCUACUGAUGAUGAUGAUUUACUUAACUAACUAAAUUACGACAAAGGCAAGCGCACCUAUCGAGUAGUAGUACAGCUAUGGUGAGUCGGGGAUAUCAUAUCCACAAGGACUAAAAUUACUAGUAAUUACCUUUUUUCUAUUAUUUAGCCUAUAAAUUGAAGAAGUUUGUUUUAAAUCUAAAAUUAUCUAAACUAAUUAUUAAGAACUCGACAGAGAAUAAAGUAUGAAAAUAAUCCAAUUGACCAAUGAGAGAGACAAUACCCAGGAAAGAAUCCACUUAGACUUCACUUAUUAUUCUGAAUCUGAAUUAAACGAUUUAUUCACUUGCCUUGAUCCGUAAAAAUCCCUAAAUUAUAUUAAUAUUUAUUUCGAGAGUAAAAAUAACUGCCUUUAGGUUGAUUAAUUGAAAUCUCUUUCUAAUUAAAACCUCUAUUGUCGCAUUAACUCGAUCUAUGGAUUCCCCUAUUAGAUUUGACUCUAAUCCGGUAGAUUUAUGUCAUCCUAUUUCUAGGAUUGCAUGCAACUCCACUCAAUUAUGUCAGAUCUACUCUUAAACAGGGACUUUUGCUCCACUGAAUUAAGCACAUCAAUCAUGAAUUAAUAUCCUGAAAACAUUAAAACAUGGAAUAAGUACACAUAAUUGAGAUCAAGAAAUCAAUUAUUUAUCAUGUAAUUCAAAAAAUUAAAUAACAAGAUCCGUCAUAGGUUUCAUCUUCCCUAGGUAUUUAGGGAAUUUAGUUCAUACUUUGGGAGGAAAACAUUUCAAAUUUAGAAAAACUACAAAACAUAAAGAAACCCAAAAACUUCUUGAGAAGUUGACUGGGGAUCUUCAAUCUUGAAGGAGAUCUUGCUUCUGAGUUGAUUCCAAGGGUGUUCUUCGAGUAAUUUCUUCGUUCUUCUCUGUGUUCCCCCUUUAGGUCCUCUUUUAGUGUGUAAAUAGACUUUAAAAUGCUCAAAAUCCUUAAAAAUUGGCUUUUUCUUCGUGUUUGGGAAACAAGGAGUGAUAUUGACACAGGCUGGAACAUGGGCAUGUGGUCAGCCCGUGUGAUGUGCUUAGUCUGUGUGGGAAUGACCAGGCCGUGUAGAUCCUGAAAGUAGCUCGUUUUGUCUGAUUUUGUCCUAUUUUCUGCUCCUUUUGCCCCCCUAUGCUCUUCUAAGUAUAAAAACAUGAAAUUAAAGGAUUAAGAGCAUCAAAUUCACUAAAUUAUAUAAUAAAUCAUCCAAAAACAUGCCAAGCAUGGGAUUAGAACAUGUUACUUUUAUGGUUUAUCAACUAACUUGGAUCACACGGCCAGCCACACGCCUGUGUUCUAGGCCGUGUGGACAAUUUAAUUUUCAAAAAUAGGUGCAAGAUUCACACGGCCAAGACACAUGCCCAUGUGUUGGCCUUGUGUUUUACACGGUUGAGACACACGCUCGUGUCUCUGUCCGUGUGAUCAAUUCUGAGCAUUUUGUUUCUAAAAUUGUAAGAUGUAGGGGACACACUAUCAAACCACAUGCACAUACAUAUUGUAACGCCCCAAUUUUCUGGAAUUCUGUGAAUGUUGGCAUAGGUUUAAUUAUGUUUUUGGGCCUCUAGAAGGCCCAAGCUUAGGAUAGAACCCGGUAAUUUUAGUUAAUUUUUGUUCCAUAAGAAAAAGGGAGUGAAAUUAUGAAAUAGGACCUAUGUGAAAAUGUUUGAAAAUGCUAUAGGCUAAUUUGUAGUGGCCAAAUAAAUACGAGUGCAAAAUAGGAGGAUUUGCAUGUCAAACCUCCCAUUUUACAUGUAGUGGCUGGUCAUCAUGUUGUUGUAGACAAAAUGUGCACUUGAUAUCCAUAAUUUAUGGUACAAAUUGAUACAAAUUGAUAAUGGGUUAGGUAAAUGUUUCAUGAUAAUGGGUUAGGUAAAUGUUUCAUGAUAAUGGGUUAGGUAAAUGUUCCAUGAUAAUGGGUUAGGUAAAUGUUCCAUGAUGGGAAUUUCAUGUCUUUUGUGUUAAAGAAUUAAAUGGAUGAAAUAUGAAAUUUUAUUAAAAGAAAAAGGGGUGAAAAGAACAAAGUUUUGGUCCAUCUUUGUUCAUCAUAGCCGAAAGUUAGAGAAGAGAAAGGAGAGGAGAAAGUUCUUGAAUGUUCGGUCACUUGGGGAAGAAAAUUGAAGGUAAGUUCAUGGUAGUUUGCUUCUAUUUUGAGGUUCAUGAGUUCUUCUUGAUUCUACCUUAACUCUUGAAGCAUAUUUUGGUUUUUAGUUGUGUUGUGAGCAUUUAGUCAUGAAUUAAAAUGAAGGAAAUGGUUGUUGUUUCAUGUUCUUUUGAUGAAAAAUGAAAGAUAGGUGAAGUUGAGCCAAACAAAUGAGCAUGCAUGUGCCUUAGAUGCUAAAGGGAAAAAUCGGCUAACAUGUUGUGCUUUAAAAUGAUGAAAUGGAGAUUAUACUUAAGUAAAAUCAUAGAUAUGUGAUGAUUGAUUGGUGAUAUACAUGUUUAAAGAACAUGCAUGCAAGGUAUGUGUGAAAGAGUGAUUUGGUAAUAAAUCUGCUUGGGACAGCAACAGUAACGUGACUUUGGAAAAUCACCAUAAAUUGUGGGAGAUGAAUUAGAAGCUGAAUAAAUUAUGUAAUUAAAGCUUAUUGAGUCUAGUUUCUAAUGAAAUAAACAAGAACAUAUUUUGAAUUAUGUACAAUGAGAAAUUUGAUUCGUAAUGAAGAGUGGUCAGAUUAGUUAAACAGUGAAACAUGGGAAACUUUGAGAAAAAUCUGGUAUUGAUUGGCUAAACCAAAAAUUCUAAAAAUUUUAUGGAUAGAAGAUAUAUGAGUCGAUUUUCAGGGAAAAUUAACGGCACUUGAUUUGGAUUUUCGUAGCUCCAGUUAUAAAUGAUUUAGUGACUGUUGCUCAGGGAGGCAGCUUGCAGUGAAAUUAUGAUUAUGUGGUAAACACUGACAAAAAUUUGUUAAUGAGUUGCUUAUUGAUUUCUUAUAAGCUUACUCUGAUCUGUAGGUGUGGUUGGCCGAAUAUUGUAAGGGGUUAAUAUGUAGUUCGUAUUUGAAUAGUUAGAUUAACGUGUUAGUAAUCCAAUUGUAGGCGGUUCGUGUGUGGAUCUCGUCAGCAUAUCGUCGCAAACAGGUGUGUAACUAACACCCUCUUAUAGACUAGAUCGGCACAAGCCGAAAAGCCGAAAUGCCGAAAAGCCAGUAUUUUGAGAUCUUGCGAGUGUGUGAAUGCUCAUGAGAUUAAUAGUUUGAUGUAUAUGGUAAAUUAAAGUGAUAAGACUGCAGAGUGCGCGAUUCUGUGCAUUUCGAUAUUUUUGGGCUUAAUGGGCCAAAAACGGGAUAAUGGGCCAACGAGCCCAAAUUGGUAAGAAAAUGCGGUAAAUGUUUCUGAUUGUAUGUAAAUGGCUAUGUUAUGUAUGAAAACCUCAAGAAUAGUUAAAUUACUUGAAUACCCCUAUGUAUGCAAAAUUACCAUUAUACCCCUAGGGUUACUUUUGACUGAAAAGCAUGACGAUCUGAUUUUGUAUGAUGUAUGCCAUGAUUAUAUAUCUGUUGCAUGGGGACUUGGGUUAUACUAUGGAGGAAGUGUCCUGGUGGCUAUGCCACAAUUAUCUGAUCUGGUGGCUCUGCCGCAUAUAUCUGUCCUGGUGGUUAUGCCACAAUUAUCUGAUCUGGUGGCUCUGCCACAUAUAUCUGUUCUGGUGGCUCUGCCACAAUAUCUGUAUCUGGUGACUUCGUCACAAUAUCUGGCAGCCUCGCUGCGAUUUCUGUGGUGUGUAGCGGUUGGGUGGGUCGAGUAGUCUCCCCACAUGGUGUAAGGCUGGUACCGGGGUGUUAUGGAUGAAUCUGGGUUGGGUUUCUGCAUAAACAUGUAAUAUCUGUUCUGUUCUGUUAUGGGCCUAUGGGCUUUAUUUUGAAUUCUGUUCUGGGCUAAGGCCAACUUAUUCUGUUUCUGUGGUUUGAGCUGAUAUAGGCUAUGGUUGGGUUAAUUUACACACUGAGUUUCCCCAAACUCAUCCCUUUUAUUUUCAUCCACGCAGGUAAUCCCCAACCAUAGUGGGCUUGGAGCUGUGAGGGAAUUCGGAGUGGCCACCCAUUCUGAAAGUUUGAUUUUUUUCUGGUGAACUGGAUAUCCUUUUAUUUUCGUUUGAGGUUUUGGGUUUUUAAAUGUAAUAAGGCCGCUUAAUUAUUUUUGAUGGUUUUAAUAUGUGUUACUAAGAUAAGUAUUACUUAUUUUAAUUGUUGAAAUUGGAAAGCUUUAGGGCGCGUUUUCAAAUACAACAAUUGAUUUCAAAAUACCAUGACAACAAGCAAAGCUUCCACAAUGAAAGUAUUUUCCAAAAUUAAUCACUUUUCCUAAAAAAGACUUAAUCAAAUCAGUUACCUAGAAAUAGACAUGACGUUAAGUUGUGGCAAUGGUGGCAUGCAUGUCUAGGAUUGGAUCCGAAGGGAGCUUGGUACUUAAACAGUCUGAUGGACUCACCUCCUCUUUUCCGGUUUCCUACCUGGUGCACAGCUUCCAUUCACUUUAACCUAUAAUGAAAUUAUCUUUUAAAACACUAAGUAAGUUUUUCUGGAUCAACAAUAUAAAAUGUUUUGAACGCUUCGAUGUGGCAUGUCGGAUCCAGCCAUAACGUCUGGUUGGGUUUUGGGGUGUUACACAUAUGGCCGCGAGUCACACACGGUUGAGAUACACGCCCAUGUGCCUACCCAUGUGGACAAAAUAAGGCCAUUUCCAAGCCUUAUUUCUCACCUAAAUUUUGCCUUGUACGUACAUUAAUACUUGCAUACAUAUACCAACCAAUUCAAGAUGUUAAAACCAAGCCAACAUUAACAUUAUAUUUGAUAAAUCAUCACAUGUAUUCAAACUUAAAUUUUGAAAGACAUAUAUGUUUACCAUAAUUCAAUCAAAUCAUACCAAGCACACAUAUUUUAACCAUAUUAUAACCUCAAGUAUAUAUUCACUAAAUAUAUCAUUAUUAGCCAUUCCAAUGGCUAGAUUACAAACAACCAUUUACAUGAAAACAUUUAUCAAGUUAGCCUAUACAUGCCAUUGUACCAAAAUAAGUUUGCUAUUUAUACCAAACGUGCUGAAGGAUAGUGUGAUGAUGUUUCGAUCGAUUCCAACCUUUACGAGCUUUCGAGUACUAUAAAAUAGAGAAAAGAAAAAAAUGUAAGCAUUUAAUGCUUAGUAAGUUCGCAUAACAAGAAUUUAACUCACCAUACAUUUACAUUUAAGGUAAGCAUAUAAGAUGCUUCCAAGCAAUUUGGCUAAUUGUAAUAGCCCGAUUUUGGGCCUCGAAACAGUGGUUCCGAAACCACUAUUUCAGGGUCGAAGAAAUUAUUUUAAAUAUUAUUUUAUGUGUUAUAGCAUGAUUAUAUGAGUGCAUAAACAUUUUGGUGAAUUAAUUUUAGCGAUUGUGAGCUUAAUUUUGAAAAAUGACUAAAUCGCAUAAAGGGAAAAAUUUGUGAUUUUCUAGCUAAAUAUGUUAAAUUGCUAGAGAACCAUAAUUGGGGGUUUUUAAAGUGCAAAUAGACCCCUUUCACAAGCUUGGCCGACCAUAGAGACAAAUAGGAGUUGAGAAGUCAAAGUUAGGUGCCUUUUUUUGGUAAGAAAUAAAACAAAAAGAAAAAGUUGUCAUCCUUUCAUCUUUUUUUUCUUCUUCCACCAAAAAUGGCAGCAAGGAGGGGCUUGAAAAACUCAAAAUAUCAGCCACUUAUAUUCUUUUCAAGUAAGUGAUUUAGAUGCCUAUUUUUGAUAAUUUUUGUACUUUUGGAACCCUUGUAGCAUGAACUAGCUAAUGGGGGGACUAUUUUGUAAAAUGGUUGAUAGUCUAGGGAUUUACCAUGAAAGGAUUUAUGUUGUUUUCUGAAUUUUUAUGGAAGAAAAUGAGUCUUGGGUGUCUUAUAAACAACUUUUGUGAAAGGUGUUAGCAUGAAAACACCUAAAAAGACUAUAUUGCAUAAGUUGUAAAAUAGAUGUUAUGUAUGUGAAAUAGUGGGAAAUUGGAGUUGCUAUAAGAGUAAAAAGGGUUCGGAUAAGCUUAAGAUGUGAAGAAAUUCGAUAAAAAUCAAUUUUCGGACCUAGGGGUAAAAUGGUCAUUUUACAAAAGUCUAGGGGCAAAAUGGUCAUUUUGCCCAAAUAUAGGUUAUUGAAUACCUAGAUUGAUAAAGUGAUUAAAUUUGUGAACUUGUGUUAUUUUAGAUCAAGAAAAUCGAGAUUUGGGCUUAAAUCAAGAAAGUGUGUGGUUAAAGACAAAAAGAAAAUAAUUAGCCGAAAUUACAUUUGAGGUAAGCCCGUGUGAUUAAAUGACCGUGAUAUUUAUGCCAUUGUUAUUAUACUUGAAAAUCUAUCUUGUCAUGAUUGUAUUAAAGUGUAGGUUGAUGAUAUUGUAUAUGAAAAAGUGAUGUCAAAUGUAAAUAACAUUUAUGUGUUGAUUGAAUGCUUGGAGAUUUGAUGGAAUAUGAUAUUCCAUUGAAAUGAGUAAGUUGUAUGUAAAUAAGACAACUACAUUGUUAUUAUAUGUGUUUAAAUUGAUAUAGCAUGAAUUGCUUGGUUGUGGAAAUGAUUAUGUUUGAUGAAUAUUGAGAUAGUAGAAUUCCCGUUUGAACCUUAAGACACAAUUCGGAUAUUCAUGCCAUGACAUUCGGGUUAUUUGUGAGCCAAUGUAAGACCAUGUCUGGGACAUGGAAUCGGCAUUGAGAUGAGAGCUAGUGUAAUACAUGUCUGGGACAUGCAUCGGCCUCGAGUUGUAAGCCAGUGUAAGACAUGUCUGGGACAUGUAUUGGCUACGAGAUGUGUCAGUGUAAGACCAUGUCUGGGACAUGGCAUCGGCACAGAUGUGUGAGAGCUAGGGUAAGACCAUGUUUGGGACAUGGCGUCAGCCUCGAUUUCGAUAGUCAGUGUAAUACCAUGUCUGGGACAUGACAUCGACUUAAUGGAUGAGCUAGUGUAAGACCAUGUUUGGUACAUGACAUCGGCAUUAUACCCUAUGUUUGAGGCUUAGUGAAUAUCCGAUAGCUUUCCGAAUGGUUCAACGGUGAGAGUUAUGGUUUAAGCUAAAUGAGAAAGGUUAUGACCAUAUUGUGAGUGGUACAGGUACUUACAUGAAAUUGAUGGGAUGUGAAUUCAAUUCAUGUUAUAUGAUUAGUAAGAAAUGAAAAUGAGCAUGUUGAGUAAUACAGGUAUGUAUGCCAAGCUCAUGAGAAAUGAUUUCAGUUUACAAUACACCUUUAGUGAAGAUGUAAAUAGGUAAUUCAUGCUUAUGAGAAUGAUUUUGUGAUGACCUUGUGAUUAUAGGUCUAUACUUAUGAUGUAUGAAUAUGUAACCUUACCAAUGUGGUGAAAGUGAAUUAAUAUGGUGUGAUAAACUAGUAUCGUUAAUUUACACAAAAACAGUUUUGGACAGUAGCCAUAGUCCAAAUUUGAAAAUCCACAAAAAAUUGUGGAAAUUGAUUUAGAGGCUGAAUAAAAUAUGAAAUUAAAUCCUAUUGAGUCUAAUUUCACAUAGAAGAAAUGGUGUAAGUAAAAGAGUUUCAUAUUAUGAAAUAUUUAAAUUGUUGUGAGACAGAGUCAGAAUGACUUCGAAAAUCCCCUAUUCUGAUUUGAAAAAAUCAUUGAAAAUUGUAAAAAAAUAUUUAUGACUUAUAAUUUAUAUUAUUAUAAUUCUUAAUGAGUAAUUUUCAAGAUAAAUAGACGAUAACAUCAUCUUAGUCCCGUAUUAUGAGAUAAUUAAUUUUUAGUAAAGAGGGGUUAGAACUGUCAGACAACGAAAAAGGGUAACUUUGAGGAAUAAAAUAUACUAAUUGGCUAAACCAAAAAUUCUAAAAAUUUUAUGGUAAGAAGAUAUGUGAGUCUAGUUUCAGGAAAAAUUAGCAUAACUUAAUUUGGAGUUCUGUAGCUCCAGAUAUAAAUAAUUUAGUGAAUCUGACUUGAGAAAAUAGUUUGACUGGAACAUGAGUAAAAAAUGCGAAUAGGGUUGUAUUACCAUCAAAAGAAAAUUGAUAAAUUGCUUAUUAUUUUCAUACGGUCUUGCUAAGCUAUAAAGCUUACUCCCUUCCUUUCCUUUCCUUUAGUGUUUUCAGGUUAGCUCGGAGUUGGAGAUCGUCGGAGGCAGCAUCACACUAUAAAGUCGCUACCUUUGGAAUAAUGAAGUAUAUAUUAGAAAUUUCAAGUGAGUGGCUUGUAUAGAGAUGUAGUUGAUUGACAUGUAUUAUUUUUCUUUGGCCAAAUGUAUUGGUUUAAAUUGAGUUUUAUGUAUAUGGCCAUGAGAUGUGGGUCAUAUUGAUUAUGGCUUGUAAGCCUAGCUAUUUAUGUCAUGUCUAGUUUUUAUAAUGUGAUUAUGUUUGUUUGCCAUGCAUGGUUAGUAAUAUGACAUGUGUGUUGGAUGUAUGCUCUAUGACCAAUUGAGGUGUUCAUAGCCAUGUAGUAAUUGCAUGUUAUAUACACAACGUGAUAAUGAUUGAACAUUAGUGCUUGAUGGAUAAGUUGGUAACCGUAGUAUAAUGGUAAAAGUGAUCAUCAAAAUGACAAGUCUUAUGAAAGUGAAAUAAGGAAUCUAGACUUGGCAUUGCAUGAGUAUAUGCAUUACUUGUAAGAGGACAUGUUAAUGUUAAGGAUAUAUCUUAAUAAAGAAUGUUUAAUCAUUAAAAUGAUGCCAUGAUUUGCGAUUUUGAUGUACAUAAGGUUGUAAGAGAUUAUGGGUAACAUGAAAGCUUGGAAAAUAGCCGAAGUGUUGGCCAUAUGGGCUGAGACACGGCCGUGUGUCUCAACCGUGUUAGAGACACAGCCUGGAGACACGGGCGUGUGGCCCGGCCGUGUGGUUCGAUGUACAUGCUGAUGUCAUAAACAGAGAGUUACAUGGUCUGAGGACACGGGCGUGCCAAAGGUACACAGGCAUGUCCCUAUGUCCACACGGGCGUGUGACCUUGUUUUGUGGGAAAAUUUCCUAAGUUUUUUUGAAACUUUUAAAAGUUCUCGGUUUAGUCCCGAAUCAAUUCCGAUGAAUGUUUUGGGCUUCGUAGACCCAAAUAAGGGAUGACAUGCAUGUGUUUGAAAGGUUUUGAAUUAAAAGAGAUUUUAUGGCCCGAUUUUUGCAUGAAUGUAUAUGUUUAAGUCCAGUAAUGUCUCGUACCCUGUUCUGGCGUUGGACAUGGGUAAGGUGUGUUACACUAAUAGCCUAAAACACACAACUUCAUCAAACAUGUUAGUCAUUAUUCCACAUAAAUUUCAAGAAUCAAAGAUGAGCUCAUCAUAGUAUAACUUUCAUAUACAUAUGCUUUUCAUAUCAUAUUUCCAUUUAACAUGUACAUUUCCAUACACAUAUAUCUUUCAUCCCAUAUUUCAAUUUGUCAAAUAUCAUCACUUUCAUGUAUUUCAGGUAUAAACGGGUAAUAAUUCAUUUUGAACUCAUAUUUUCUCAUGUUAGGAUUUUUCCCAUUGAAUUAUUGAAAAUAUCGAUAGAUACAUAGGUAGUACAAACAAGGUGUACAAAACUGUAAUCUAUCAAAUCAUAUUCUGGGGUACCCAUUAGGGCACAUAAUUAGGAAACACUCUCUCGAGCCAUAUAAUAGGAUGCUCAUGUGAGCCAUGUAACAUGAAGCUUAUCCGGGCUAAAUCAAGAAACUCAUAAGAGUUUAGAAUAGGAAGCUCAUUGAGCUUAACAGGUAACUCUGAAAAGCUAUUAUUAGGGAACUCUGGAUAGCCAUAUAAUAGGAUGUUCAAGCGAGCCAUAUUAGAAAGCUCAAGAAGAGCCUAGAUUAGAACGCUCAUAAAGAGCUGUGUUUGUGUCCACAAUAUAUGCAGGAUCACAACCGAUCAUAUAAUAAGAUGCUCACAAAGAUUUGUGGUAUGUCCGCAACAUAUGCAGGAUCAAUACCGAUCAGGAUGCUCACAGGAACCAUGUAACGGGAAACUCGAGAGGGCUUAUAACAGGAUGCUCUUUCAAGUUAAGGUGUAUCUACAACAUAUGCAAGACCACAACCAAUCAGGAAGACUUGUAUCCAUCAAAUUCCAUCUAUUCAAGAGGGACUUAUUAUUUAUCGGGCAUAAUCGGACAUGUGAUCAAUUUCAUAUAUAAUGCAUUCAUACAAUUCACAUAUACCACACUCAAAUCAAACAUAUAUAAUACACACAAUUUAGUUACACGAACUUACCUAGAUAAACGUUCGUAUACAAAGAUCUACUAAUCUGAUACUUUUUGUUUUCCUCGAUCCAGCUCUGUACUAGGUCUAUCCGGAUCUAUAUAAAUGAAUUUAACAUCAAUUUAAUCCAUUUCAUACUCAAUUUAAUUCAAAUCAAACCCUAGGCAAAAUUACCAUUUGUGCAAUUUAAUCCAUAUUCCAAGUCUAAUCGAUUUUUACAUAUAACAUUUACAGCACAUAUAUUUCAUAAAAAUCAGAAAUUUUCCAUGGAUUUUUUAUCUUUACAAUUUAGUUCCUAAAGCAUAAGUUCAUGAAAAUUCACUUUACAAAAGUUGUUUAUCUAUCAACAACCUUUCAUUUUCUAUUAUAAAUUUCAAAAUUUCAGCAUAUUCAUCCACGGAAAAAUUUCAAUACUUUAAUAUCUUUUCAAAUUGAUUCCCAAAAUAGAUAGAUUAGGUUAUUCCGAUCUCAAAAAUAUAAAAAUUACUAAAAACGGGACAUGAUUACUUGCCUAAUUAAGCUUGCUUGAUUUUCUUUCUCUUUCUUAGGGUUUUCAUAAAAUUUGGGGAAGAAGAUGAUAUAAAAUGAUGAUAUUUGAUAUUUAUUUUAUGUAUCAUCUUUUAUUUAUUUCAAUUUCUAAUUUAGUCCUUUUUUUUCUAAUUUUCCAUGGAUGAAUCAUCAAAAAUAUCUAUUAAAUUUUUAAUGGUCUAAUUACUAUAUAAGGACCUCAAGUUUUGAAUUCCAUAACUAUUUGAUACUUAUAGCUACUAUAACUCAACUUUUGUAUUUUAUGCAAUUUGGUCCUUUCUAUUAUUAAACAUGAAAUCGAUAAAAUUUUCUUAUCAAAUUUUUCAUAAGUCUUUCCUAUCAUGAUGCAGACCAUGCAAUAAUUUUAAAAUAAAUUUUCUUUCUGACUCGGAUUUGUGGUCCCGAAACUAUUGUUCCGAUUUCAUUGAAAACGGACUGUUACAUAGGGACUGCAAACCCUAGUGUAUUUAAAUAGGGUUGUCGCCCUGUCCCCCCAAUCCUAGUUAGACUAGGAUUAUGUUUUUCUAUUGAAAUAGACUUCUAAUAAUUCAACAAGGGUUUCAUUUCUUCUCCCUAUAAAUAGAUGGAAACGGUAAGGCUAAAUACAGAACUUUGAGAUAUUGUUAUUCUGCCCGAAAAUAGUGAGAAUUUAUUUUCUAAGUAUAAAUUCUAUAUUCUAGAAUGCAAUUCUACUAGUUUUUAUUAAAGAGAGAUUUUCUUUUCCACUAAAAGUAAAGUAAAUGAUUUCUGGUUCUGUGCUUGAUUUGAAUUUGUUCAAGCCUACAAUCAAAGUAGCUUGUGGUACAGGAAUAACAAAGAAGGUCAUUCAGUUGAAAGCCAAGAACGAUAAGGAUCCGUUUGGUCGAAAACACAGGUGUGAUUUUUGUAAAGCUUUUAUUGAUAUAAAUAUAAAAAAUCGACUUGAUUUUCAAAAAUUAAAUUUUUCGCUGUGCAAGAAAACUAUUUUCAAAUAAAUUUUUUUUCAAAUAUUCAUAUUAACCAAGAAAGAAUAACUAUACUUGUUAAAGAUGAUACCUUAAGUUUGCUUAAGGAAAUUGAUAUUCCACAAUGUGAAUCUUGCUUCGAAGGUAAGAUGACUAAGUGAUCUUUUAAUGCAAAAGGAAUGAGGGUUGUCAAUGUAACAACCCAUUUUUCAGUGAAAUCGGAACAGUGGUUUUGAGACCACAAAUCUGAUCCGAAAAUAAAUUUUAUUUUUAUUUUAUUACGAGGUCUGUAAUAUGUUAGAAAGGUCAUGUUAAAAUUUUGAUAAGAAAAUUUUAUUGAUUAUGUGCUUAAUUACGAGAAGGACUAUAUCGUAUAAAAUGCAAAAGUUGAAUUCUAGUAGCUACAAGGAUUAAAUAGCUAUGGAAUUCAAAACUUAAGAUCCUCAUAUGGUAAUUCGACCAUUAAAGAAAAGUAUGUAGAUAUUUUGGUGACUCAUCCAUGGAAAUUUAGAAAAAGGGCAAGGACUAAAUUAGAAUUUGAAAUAAUUUAAUUAAUUAAAAAGAUGAUAAAAGAUAUCAUCUUAAUUUUUAUGUCAUAUUCAACCUAAGAAACCCUAAGAGAGAGAGAGAAGAAACUUUCAUGGCUUAAUUGGGUAAGUUUCCUUGUCCCAUUUUUAGUAAUUUUGAUAUUUUUGAAACUGGGAUAGCUUAAUCUAUCUAUUUGAGGGAUCAAUUUGAAACUUUCAUGGCUUAAUUGGGUAAGUUUCCUCGUCCCGUUUUUAGUAAUUUUGAUAUUUUUGAAACUGAGAUAGCUUAAUCUAUCUAUUUGAGGGAUCAAUUUGAAGAGUUAACAAAGAAUGAAAAUUGGGCCAUCGAUAAAUAUGCUGAAAAUUCAAAAUUUAUGGUAGAAAAUGAAAGGUUGUUGAUGAAAACAUGAUUUAUGCACUAAAGUGUAAAAUUGAUGAAAAUUCUGAAAUUUAUAGAAAAUAUGUUCUUUAAAUUCUAUAUUAAAAUUUUGGUUAGGCUUGGAAUAGGGAGUAAAUUGCAUAAAGUUUAUUUUCCGAGCCUAGGGAUUUAAUUUGAAUUUAUGGAAAAGUUAGGGGCAAAAUGGUAAUUUUUCCUAGGAUAUAAAUUGAGUCCAAAUGAAUAUGAAAUGUGGGAAAUUCAUGAUUAAAGUUAUUUAUAUAGAUCUGGACAACUGAAAUUCGAGGUUAAAUCGAGGAAAAGAAAAAUGUUUCGAAAUAGUAGAUUUUAUACGUGAAGAAGUGUCGAGGUAAGUUUGUGUAACUUAAUCGAGCAUGUAAAUAUGUUAACUUGAAUGUUAUGAGUGUAUGCAGUAUGAUUUAUAAUUAUGUGAAUGUUAUAAAUGUGUGAAUGAAUAUAUGUUCGAAAAUGUUAGAAAAAGGGGUAAAGUCUCGUUUGAAUAUUGAAUUUCGGUGGAUAAAUGUGAUUGCCUUAUAAAAUGAUGUGUUGCAUUUGUUGCUUAUGAGAUUUAGCUCGGACGAGUAAUCUUAUUAAUCUCAUUAUAGAAAGGAUUUAGCUCGGACGGGUAAUCCUGAUAUAAUUCCUCUCGAGCAUAUUUAGGAUUUAGCCUAGACUAGCAAUCUUGUAAUACGAUAUGUGGCUUGAGAGUGUGUUCUUGAUUAAAUUCCCUAAUGGGUACUCUUGAAUAAGAAUUGACAGGUUAUUAAAUUGUACACCUUGAGUGUACUACUCGAGUAUCCAUCAAAAAGUUAAUGAUUCAACGGGCAAAACUCUUGGCAUGAUGAGAGAAUUAUGAGAUGAAAUGAUAAUGUCUUGAAAGAAUAUUGCAUGAUGAGCUCAUCUAUGUUUACUUGAUGUAUAUGAAAAUUUUGUGACUAACAUGUUUGGUUGAAUGCAUGUGUUUAGGCAAUUUUUCCAAGUUGAUGGAAAACAUGAUUUUGUAUGCUUAGAUUUAAUAAACGGGAUUGGUAAGUUUAGUUUCUGUUAUACGAACUUACUAAGCAUAUAAUGCUUACUCCGUUUUAUUUUCCCUUGUUUUAUAGUGCUCGGAAGCUCGCGAAGGUUGGAGGUCAUUGGAGCAUCAUCACACUAACCACUAGCUUAUUUUGGAUAUAUAUAGAAAAAAAAUCAUUUUGGUAUAAUGGCAUGUAUAGGCUAACUUGGCCAUAGAUGGCUUGAAUAUGUGGUUUGUAAUCUAGCCAUUGGAAUGACUAGUAAUGGUUGUUUUGAUAUACUUGUAAUGUCAUACUAUGGUAGCUAGAUACAUGUUAAAUGGUUGUUCAAGUUUUGCCUAUCAUAUGAAAUAUACCAAGGUAAGAUUAUAAACAUGUAUGCAUGUAAUGAUAUACCAUGUUGAAUGAUAGAGUUUGCUUAAUUUGAAUGCUUGAAUUGGUUAGCAAUUGGAUGUGAGUUUAAGUAUAGGUCAUUGGUGUGAUUUUGGGUGAGAAAUGAAGAUAGAAAUGGCUUUAUUUUGUCCACACUGGUAGACACACGGGCGUGUGUCUAUACCGUGUGUGACAGACGGCCUGGUAUAUAGGCGUUUGAUUAGGCCGUGUGUCCCCUGCACCUUUAACUCGAAAAAAAAUGCUCAAAAUUGAGCACACGGGCAGAGACACGGGCAUGUGUCUCAGUCGUGUGUGCUACACGGCCUAGAACACGAGCAUGUGUCUUGACCGUGUGAAACCUGCACCUAAUUUCGAAAGAAUUUAAUUAACCACAUGGCCUAGCACACGGGUGCGUGGCAUGGUCGUGUACACAAGUCAGAGAGUUACACGGGGUCGAACAUGACCUGUAGUACGGGCGUGUCCCUUGGACCACACGGGCGUGUGAGCCCUGCACUUUGGAAAAUUUUUUAGAUAUCGCUAAAAUUUCUUAGGGUUUCCGAUUAAGUCCCGAUUCAAUUUUAAUGCUCAUAUUGGGCCACGAGGGUCUAUUUCAGGGACGAUAUGAAUAAUCUCGGUUAGUGAAUAGUAAAUUACGUGAAUUAUCUAAAAAAAUAUUCUAAAAAUUUUGAUAAUGCUCCGUAACUUUGUUCCGGCGACGGAUACGGGUUAGGGGUGUUACAGUCAAACUCUUAGAGCUUAUGCACACUCAUAUAUGUGGCCCCAAGAACGUCAAUGUGCAAGGUGAUUACAAUUAUUACAUAACCUUUAUAAAUGACUAUUCCAGAUAUGAAUAUGUAUACCUAAAGCACCGUAAAAGUGAAACUUUUGAUAAAUCAAAAGAGUUUCGUGCAGAAGUGGAGAAACUAGUAGGUUUACCCAUAAAGAUACUUCAGUUUAAUCAAGGUGAGGAAUACUUAUCGGAUAAGUUCUUAGGUUACCUCGUAGAGAAUGGAAUAUUAUCCCAAUUAACCGCGCUAGGAAUUACACAACAAAAUGACAUGGCAGAGAAAAGGAAUCGAACCUUGUUGGACAUAGUUUAAUUGAUGUUAAGUUAUUCAUAGCUUCAAGUCUCUUUUUGGAGAUAUUUUUUACAAAUGACUUGUUACAUUUUGAAUGAUGUACCAAAUAAGUUCAUACCUAAAACUCCAUACUAAUUAUGGAAUGGCAUGAAGCCAAGUCUAAAUCAUUUAAGGAUUUGCCGAUGGCCAGCCCACGUGUUGGAUAAAGAUAUGAGGAAAUUGGAUUCACAGAUAGAGUUGUGUAUGUUUGUGAGUUAUCCAAAAGGAAUAAAGGGUGGUUUGUUUUAUAACUCAAAAUAGCAAAUACUGAUAGUGUCCACUCAUGCUACCUUCAUUGAAGAGAGUUACAUGAACGACUUUAAAUCUUAAAGUAAAGAAGUACUUGAGAAAAUUUUGGGAAGUACAUAAAUCCUUGGUCUCGGAUCAAACUCUUAAUAAUAGAUUUACAAACAAUCAUCAACAUAAGGAGCUUCGUUGUAGUGAGAGGGUUUCUCGUACGCCCGAGUUCUUCUAGUCUGGCAGAAGUGUUUUAAACAUUGAGUUUUCUGAACAGGAAGAUGAUGACCAACCUACAUUUAAAAAACGAUGCAGAGUGUUGAUUCCAAGCUUUGGGAAAUAGCUAUAAAAGCUAAGAUGAAUUCUAUGAAAUCCAGCUAAGUGAUAUACAAGAAGAAAAGAAAUGCGAAUGGAAAAGUGGAAACUUAUAAGGCUAGACUUGUAUCAAUUACGAAGAAGCCUUCUUUUUGGUUGCCAUACUCAACUCAAUCUGCAUAUUGUUAUCCAUUGUGGUGACUCUUAAUUAUGGAUCUGUCAAAUGGAUACCAAGACAAUGUUCUUGAAUGACUAUCUUGAAGAGAGCACCUAUAUGAUGCAACCCACCCUAUAUAUAACUAAAGGAAAUUAGCAUAAAAUUUACAAAUUGCUUAGAUUUCAUAUAUGGACUUAAGUGAGCAUCCCACUCAUGGAAUCAAAUAUUUGAUCAAAACUUUUGAAUUUGAGCAAAAUAUUGAUAAACCUUCUAUUUAUAAACGUAUUAAGGAUGGAAAUGUGGUCUUUCUUAUUGUAUAUGUCGAUGACAUUCUACUCAUUGGAAAUGAUUUAAGUACAUUGUCAUCGGUUAAAUUGUGAUUAACCCAACAGUUUAGCAUGAAAGACUUAAGAAAAGCUAUCUUUGUUCUAAGCAUUUGAAUCGUAAGGGAUAGAAAGAAUAAAGUGAUAGCAUUAUCACUAAGAAUAUACAUAGACAAGAUAUUGAAAAUUUAUGCAAUAACCGAUUCAAAAUUUAGUCAUUAUACUAUAGUGGAAUAACUUCACGACUAAAGAAGUUUAUAAUUAAUAGGCGAAAAGUUGGACAUUGAUUAUAAAUUAUUUGAGCCCUUAUUAUGUAUGUACAAUUGGUCCCCCCACUAGCUCGUUGAAACAAAAAAUGAAUUGCAUGUGGAAGAAAAUGAAUACAAAUGAAUAUAAAUGAUAAAGUCGGAGAAAUAGGUCACAUUAACAAAUUAAUUUGUUUUCUCACCAGGUAUAGAAAUGACUUGAGAAAAUAAUUUAAGGUUUUUGAAUGAUUAUUUAAUUAAUUAUAAUUAAAUAAUUAAAGUUAAAAAAAUGAAAUUAAAUUAAUUUUCCAUUAUGAAUCCUUUGAAUAAUGAAAUUAAAUAUAUUUCCUCAUAAAAUAUUUUACAAUAAAGUUGUUAUAAUUUUAAUGGAAUUAGAAUUGAGUUGACAUAAUUAUUUAAUUGGGUAAUUAAUUUAGUUAAUUAAAUUAAUUAAUUAAUUAAUAUUUAUUUUUGAAAAUAGAAAAUAAACAUUAGGUUUGAUUAAUUUAUAAAAUGCUAGGUUAAAAGUUUAGGAAACUCAUAUAAUUGAACCCAAUACAUGAUAGGCCAAAUUUGUCCCGUAUAACAUGUGAGCAGCAGCAACCCAAAGGGAAUUUAAGAGAGUGGUUGCCUCCUCUCUCUUAGUUAGAUUAAGGGAGUGUUUUCUAUUAAAAUAAUUGUUGAGUAUGACUCCUAUUUCAGUCAAAUUUGAGAAAUAAUAUUCCAGUUAAAUUCUGUUUAUUUGUUUCAAUCAAACACUGAUUAGUCUAGAUUAUUUUAUUAUUAUUUGACCUAUGAAUUUAGCCUAUAAAUAGACUCUUUUACAACUUUAGAAAAUACAUCCAUUAGAGAUUAGAACUCAUAACACUUUUGGAGAAUAUUUGUGUUUAUGUUUUGAAGGUUCUUUGUUUUUUGGGGUUUCGGGGUUUAGUUUUUAUCUCCAUCUUUGUACUCUUCGUUCUUUUGCCAUUAUAGUAAAAUUAUCUUUACCCGUGGUUUUUUAUCCUCUUUGGAAGGGUUUUUCCACGUUAAAUUUGUGUGUUCAAUUUUUCAAUUUCUUCCGCUAUUUUUACUUGUUUGUUGCUUAAUUAGGUCGAUCGCCAAUAGUAACAUUAUUUGUUUAAGCCUUAUUCAACCAAGAUUCUUCUAUUUCUCCCUAUAAAUAGAUAGCACCGAUUAACUUAAAAAACACAUUUAUUGGUUAUUGAUUUAUCAUUAUUCUACCAAAAAAAUAGUGAUAAUUUAUUCACUUAAAAUAAAUUAUAUUUUCUGGGAAUUACGAUUUUUAUUAGUUUCUUGAGAGAAUUAUUUUGCUACUGAAAGUAAUAAUAAUUUCUUGUUCUUUGUUUGGUUCAUGUUUCUCGAGCCCACACUCAACCUAAAUCCAUCUUGCACAAUGUACAGGUACUUUUCGGUAAAACGGUUAUUGCUAUAAAUAUCACAAAUCGGUUCAUUUUUUAAAAUUUUUAAACUUCUGCUAUAACUAUAAAUCGUUAUGAUGGAUUUUGACAAACCACAUUUUUAAGUGGGACUGUGUGCAUUAAAUCAAAUAAAAUUAUGAAAAAUUUUGAAAAACCACAUUUUUAAGUGGAAUUGGAAAAAGGAAAUUGAGCUACUAAGAUCCCCUUUUGAAAUUACUUAUAGAUUAUGAAAUUCUUUAAUAUAUUUACCCAAAUAAAUAAGUUCAUUUUUAGAAAUUUAAAAAUCUUAAUAAAAAUAAAAUCCCUCCUAUAAAUCCCUCACCCAAAACACACUUUUAAAUACCUAUGCAAGUUGAGAAGCAAAUGAUGACAAAGACUAUUCACUAACAAAUGAUCCAUUAGAAUGACUGACCGGCAUUACGCCUGUGCGUAUAAAACAAAAAAUUUAUAAAAUAAUUUUUAUAGCACGGUUUUACUACAAGCAUGUAGGUCAGUUGUAAUAUUUGUAGUGUUACAAUGGAACACCAACGUAUUCCAAGGAUCGAACCCAAAGGAGUUGGUGACUUAGUGAUCUGCCACAAAUUAUUGACCGCCGCCGGACGUACUAACGUCUAGAGUGUGAAUAUUAUAGCAAAAGAUAUAUAUAUAAAUGAUAAGGUAUCUACAAGUAUACGGGUCGGGUUGUAAUAUAGCUACAACGAAAUAGGUAAGUAUUUUGAGGAUCGUACCCAAAGGAGGCUAGUACUAGCUCAAUUUCAACCUAAACACCAAAAGAUCUAAUUAGUACUUGAAAUAGGUUAUAUUAUGAAAAUAUAAGUAAUAGAGAUUUUUGGGGGUUUUUUAUAAUAAUGAAAAUAUGACAAGUAAUUAAGUAUCGAGAAAUUGAAAAGUGAAAUUAAUCAAAUCUGAUUAUGGGUGAUUAGCUCGCUUCGGUAAUCUUCAUCAACUGCUGCUUCAAGUUCCUCGUCAAUCAACUAGUUGAUAUCCUAGCAGGAUCUUUUGAUACAUCCGCUAGAAUAACAAGUUAGCAAGGACUACUUAUCUUCCGACCUCACAGUUCAUAUCGGUUUGGGGUGAAGGUGUUCACGGAUAGGCCAUACCAAUUUUAGGUUAAUUUCCACCUUGAUAACUUCCUAAGGUUAUCAAGCCUAGGUUUUUGGUUCUUCCUUUCCCAAAUAGCUGAUCCGUUGAGUAACCCUACAAAACAGUUAAUAGAUUAUAUCUCCACUCGUUAAUCCCCUAUAAAAAGAUUAGUUCCUCAUGGUUGUCGUAAACAAUAUAAAGUUAAUAUAAAGCAUAAACAUGAUAAUUGAAUCGAAAGUAUAAAGUUUAAGAAAAAGCCUGAUUUGUAUUACAAAGAAGAAUAAAUCUAAAAAGUUUAAUCUUAUCCACAAGCCAUAUUUCCCAAGGUAAAAAAAGAACAAGCUAAAAUAAAUCUAAAACCUAAAGAAAAGAGAAAUACUAAACUAAAAAUAAAAAAGUGAGAUUCUAAGCUAAGUAAUCAGUGUCUAUAACAUGUGCCAAAUGAGCCUAAUUAGAGAUUUGAGGUGAUCGUCGUCCUUAACCCUACGUUAAUUGACAUUCCUGAACUUUAAGUUGGAUUGUGCAGACCAAAAUGCCCCUUAGCUCGUAUUAAUUCUCGUCUAGAGUCGAUGUUGUGACACAUCAGGACUUGUAUCGAGACAUAAAAUUCAGUAUACUUUUCUUUAAGGUAUCUUCAGGGGUAUGUCACGACACCCUUAGGCUAUGUCGUGACAUCAAAGGCAGUCUCAGAAUUCUUCUACUCUGUUUUCUAUGCUGCGACAUCGAAUCCUUCGUGUUGCGACAUAGUGACCAAUAUCGGUUUAGCACGCCUUCUAAUCGUCUCCUGUAUACUCAUAAAGUUAACCUUUAGACCUCAUUCGGCCCCUAAGUUCAUUAAAAGACUCAAUUUUCACAUUUUAUUGAAUUUAAUUAAACUUACUAAAACAUAAUUAAAAUCUAAUGAUAAUACUUAUUUUCAAGCUCUUAAAGUGAAAAAAUUAGUUUAAUUGCUACACCUAAUUAUGACAGAUCAAUUAUAUUAUUACUUACAUCACUUUUUACACAUAAUUUUAGCUUUUUUAAUAGUAAAUCAAAUUAUCUUAGUAUAUAUUUGUGUUUUCAUACUUGAAGUAAUGAUGUAUGCUUUUUAGUAGUUUUUAUUACAUUUUAGAUAUAUAAAUAUGGUUACAUGUUUGUAACACCCCUUACCCGUAUCCGAUGCCGGGAUAGGGUUCGAGGCGUCUGGGCCACAAAAUUUUUUCCCAAAAUUAAAACAUCUCAAACACAUGCAUUUCGUCCCUUAUACAGGCUUUUGAAGCCUAUAACAUACAUCGGGGAGGUCCGGGACUAAACUGAGAACUUUGAAAUCUUUGGGCAACUUAACCAAUUUUCUUGCUUUGGAGAGUCACAUCCCCGUGUGGGUUGGGCCAUGUGGUCACACACGCCCAUGUGGCUUCGGACACGCUCGUGUCCUCAGCCCGUGUAACUCUCUGUUUAUGACAUCAACCAAACAAAUUGAUCCACAUGGUCAAGCCACACACCCGUGUGCUUGACUGUGUCCUCCACACAGCUGAGACACACGGUUGUGUCUCUGCCCGUGUGGUCAACACUUAGGCUAUUUUCUAAUCCUUAUGUUGUCCUUAAUUCUUUCUCAUCCUUUACACAGCAUGGACCUAAGUUAUUGCAACCAAUUAUAAUCACACGUCAUACAUUAACCCAUAGCAGGAAUAAUUAGGCCUACAAGCCAUAACCAUAAUAACCCACAUCUCAUGGCUAUAUACAAUCGAUCAAUAUAAACCGAUACAUUUGGCUAAUCAUAACAACGACUAAUAUAAAAACUAGUCCUUAUACAUGCCACUCACUUGAAAGUGUUUAAUACACGUAUGACAAUACUCCAGAGUCGAUAGCUUGCUAGUGUGAUGCUACCUCCGACAAUCUCCAACCCCGAGCUGACCUGACAAAACUAAAAGAAAUGGGAAAGGAGGGAGUAAGCUUUACGCUUAGUAAGCUCGCAUGAAAAUAAUAAGCAAUGUGAUAACAUGCUAUUUUUAUAUUCUUUCUAUUUAUUCAAAUUCCAGCUAAGCUGUUUUCUUGAGUCAUAGUCAUUAAAUUAUUUAUAUCCAGAGUUACAAGACUCCAAAUCAAGAUACAUUAAUUUUCUCAGAAACUAGACUCAUACUCUUCUUACCAUAAAAUUUUCAGAAUUUUUGGUCAAUCCAAUAAAUUCAUUUUAUUAAUCAAAUUCUCCCCUGUUUCACUGUUUGAUAGCUUCUACCUUUCUUUACUAAAAUUUAUUUAUCUCAUAGUACGAGACUCAGAUAAUGUUCUUGUAUCUUUUUCAUGAAAGCAUACUCACUAAGGAUUUUAUUCAUAUGACUCAUAACUCACAAUUAUUUUUGUAAAAUUUCUAGUGAUUUUCCAAAGUCAGAACAGGGGAUUCCGAACUCAUUCUGACUCUGUCUCACAAAAAUUCAUAUAUCUCGUAAUAAAAAAUUCUUUUUCUUACACCGUUUCCUUUAUCUGAAACUAGACUCAUUAAGCUUUAAUUUCAUAUAUUAAUCAGCCUCUAAUUCAACUUCCACCAUUUAUGGUGAUAUUUCAAAUUCGGGCUACUGCUGCUGUCAAAAACUAUCUUAGUACAACAUAAUGAUAAUCAUCCCAAGUUUGUCAUAGAAAUUAUUCUUAUAAUUAUCACUCAUUCAUUUGCACUCUUAUCACAAGUCCAUUUCAUUUCACAUGUCAAACACAUGCUCAUGGGUUUCGAGUAUGUUCCUGUGCUAUCUCUUAGCACAACCACUCAUCCAAACAGGACAAUCAUAUGCAUGAUACUAGUAUCAACUAAGCAUAAAUGAGUUUAUCAUGCUGUUUUUCUUUAUAUCACUAUGUAUGUCAUUACUGCUGAAUUAUUAAAUUUUUGAUAGACCUUUCCUUUUCCAGUUGUACACUCGAGGUGUACGUUUCUUUCUGAGUGGUACAUACAAAACAUACCUUUCCUUUUCAUAUGGUAUACACAAAGUAUACCUAACCUUUCCAAGUGUACACACAAAGUGUACAUAACCUUUUCAAGUGUACACAUAUAGUGUACCUUUCCUUUUCAAGUGGUAUACACAAAGUAUACCUUUCCUUUUCAUAUGGUAUACACAAAGUAUACCCUUCCUUUUCAAGUGUACACACAAGGUGUACAUAACCUUUUCAAAGUGUACCGUUUGGGUACAUAAGUCCUUUUCAAGUAUUAACCCUUUUGUGAUACAUUUCCUUUUCAUAAUGAGAUCAAAAGAUUACCCUUUAGGGACAAUCUUUAUUGCAACAUAUGUAAGAUAUUAUAUUCACGGUAAUCACCUGUCCAAUCAGAAAUCAAUAUUCAAACUAAUUCAUGCACCAUUUCAUCAUUUAUAUAAGUCAUAAAUCAAUAUUUGUUUAUUACAUGUACUUAUCAAUUACAAAUCAUGAUGCACAUAAUUCAACAAUCAAUUAAACACAUUUACAUGCUUAAUUUAGUUAUACGAACUUACUUGUCGAAAUCUCGUCAGAUACAACCGUGUAGCAAUUCAUAUAACCCAUGUAAUAGUAAUUUAACAUUCAAUUCAUGUAACAAUAAUUUGCCAUUCAAUUUCACAUGACACAACAAACAUUACAUUUUCCAUAUCAUAAACACCAUCCAUCAACUUCUCCUAAACAUUUUAAAUCAUACAAUUUAUACCAUAUCAAUAGAGAAUUACAAUUCAAGCAUGGUAUUACACUAUUAUUAAUACACAAACUUACCUCGGAUCCAGAAACGACAAUUUACCAUUUUAGUCCAUAACCUUGUAUUUUCUCGAUUUAAGCUCGAAUCUCGAUUUUCUUGAUCUAUAAUAUCACAUUUAGCCUAAUAAUUAGUCACAUUAUUCAUAUGGGUCCAAAAAUCAUAUUUUUACAAAUUUUCAUUUUGACCUCUAAACUUUCACAUAUUUUCACUUUUGCCCCAAUACUCGUAAAAUGAUUUUUAUUCAAUUUCCUUACAUUUUAAGCCUAGCUGAAUCAUUUUCAUAACUAUUCCAGCCCCCAAUUUCCACUAAAUCUCCCUUUUAUGAUCAAUUUUACAACUUUUACAAAACAGUCUUUUCGGACGUUUUCAUCGAAAACUGCUUAGUAAAAGUCGUUUAUUUAACACCCAACACUCAUUUUCUACCAUUAAACAUCAAAAUUCAUGCACGUCACAAAUGGUUAAAUUUUUAAACAUAAACCCUAGCUCAAAAUAAUGGUAGAAAUGAGUAGAUCAUGUUACCGAUAUUUCAAAAAUGUAAAAAUCAUUAAAAACGGGGCUAGAACGAACUUACAAAAAAGCUUGGAAGCUUGAAAAACCCUAGCCAUGGUUUCUCCAUGCAAUUUUCGGCCAAGUGGUUGAAGAUGGACAAAUUUUAGCUUUUAAUUUUGUUUUUAAUUCAUUUUAAUAACUAAAUGAUCAAAAUGCCUAACCAUGUCCAUUUUUGUCCACCAACUUAAACAAUAGUCUAAUUACCAUAUAAGGACCUCCAAUUUAAAAUUUCAUAACAAGUAGACACCUCUAGCAUGUAGAACUCAACUUUUGUACUUUUUACGAUUUAGUCCUUUUGACUAAAUUGAGUGCCCAAACGUUAAAAUUUUUGAACGAAAUCUUCACGAAAUCAUUUCGUGAAAUGUAGACCAUAAAAAUAUAAUAAAAAUGAAAUUUUCCUCAUCGGAUUUGUGGUCCCGAAACCACUGUUCCGACUAGGCCCAAAAUCGGGAUGUUACAAUGGUCUUGUAGGACAAAUCGAGAGCUAAAGAUGCAUAUUCAUGAUGGAACUGUUGCCUAUGUUGCGACACCAAGACAUCGGUGUCACAACAUUGAAGACAGAAGUAAAAACAUGUCAUGGAGCGAAACUGCUUGGUAUGUCGUGACAUAGCCUUACUAUCUUGGAGCGAAGACCCAAUAAACUGUAUAUAAAUUGAAACCUUGAAAUCUUCCCUAUCCUUGGUUCUUUAAUACAUUACAAAAUAAAUGUUAGGCCAUAGGUAUUGUGUAAUACCCCAUACCUGUACCUGAGACCAGGAUAGGAUACGAGGCAUUACCGAAAUUUUCAGAAUAAUUUCAAUUAAUUUAUAUUAUUUAGUAUUCAUUUUCAUGUUUCAUAUAACAUCCUUUUCAUAUAUUCAAUUAAAAAUAUCAUAUAAAAUACGAUACAAUACUUAAAUUUUUAUAUUUACAUGCUCAUUCAGGGUAUCCGAACCUACCUGACUAAAUUGCAGAAAUACCAAGAUUUAGGGGCAUAUUGGUAAUUUACCAUUUUCCCAAAUUUCACCCAAUAUUAAAUUGAUAAUUUCAUUCAAUUUAUUAAUUUAGAUAAUAAAAUAAUUUAUUCCCUUCAAUUUAGUCAUUUUUGACAUUUUUACAAAAUUGCCCCCUAAAAUUUUACUUUUAUUCAAUUUAGUCCAUGAGCUUAAAACAUUCAAAUUAGCCAUGCUAACUGAAUAUUCAUAUAUAUUUUUUCUCCUCCUCCUCUCCAUUCCACAUCCUUAAUGUAUAUAACAUUCUUGUAAGUACGAUUUCACAAUUUACUUAUUAAUGCUCACAUCAAUCUGUUCACACGAGUCAUCGUCACUCAAUUAUUUAUAAUUCGAGCUAAAGAGCUCAAAAUUAAGAUCCGUAAAUUUUCCCUAAAACUAGACUCACAUGUAAUUCCACCAUAAAAUUUUAAGAAUUUUUGGUUUAGCCAAUUAGUACAGUUUAUUCAUUUAAUUUUCCCCUGUUUCACUAUCCAACAGUUCUGACCUCUCUUCACUACAAAUUAAUUAUAUCAUAGUACAAAACUUAGAUAAUGUUUCCACUGAUUUCUAUUGAAAAUAGACUCAUUAAGGAUUCUAAGCAUAUAAAUUUGAGACUCUAAUUAAUUUUCUCCAAUUUUUGGUGAUUUUCCUAAGUCAAAACAGGGGAACCCGAAUUCAUUCUAACCUUGUCUCACAAAAUUCAUUAUAUCUCAUAAUUUACAAAUCCAUUGCUUACACCGUUUCUUCUAUGAAAAACUAGACUCAAUAAGCUUUAAUUUUAUAUUUUAUUCAUCUUAUAAUUCGAUUUCUAAAAUUUAUGGUGAUUUUUCAAAGUUAGUCUACUUCUGCUGUCCAAUAUUGUUUUAGUUCAAGAUGUUUAUUACCAUUUUUCCUCUAAAUUUCAAAGGUCAUAUAAUUCAGUCCUUGCUCAAUUAGCCCAUCUAUUAAGCUAAUUUUUCUCAAUUCACAUUUUAUUCCAUCAUUAUAAACUAUUACACAACAUUUGAAAAUCAUCAUUUUAACACUAAACCUUAAUUCACAACUUUUUCACAAUUAGGUCCUAAAAUCAAUUUCUAUUGAAAGGACUUGAUAAAAUCAUCAAACAACAAAAUCAAAGCUUCAAAUUCAUUUUAUUUCAUCAUAAACAGCCAAAACUUAUCAUUGAUAUCUUUUAAUUUUGUUCAUAAAAUAAAAAACUAAUGAAUUAAACACUUGGACCUAAUUGUAAAAGUCACAAAAACAUAAAAAUCUCAAAGAAAAGGGUAAGAAUUGAACUCACAUAUGUCAAAGUAUGAAAAACCAGCAGCUUUCAGACCUCCCAUGGCGUUUUUGCUGAAGAAAAAUGAUGAUAUCUCUAGAUUUUUCAAAUUUGUCUUGUUUUAUAUGUUUAAUUUGCAAAAUUUCCCAUUUUGCCCUUGUUUCUCCUUGUCUUUUUUGCUGAUUUUCUUGCCCAACCGUCCAGCCCAUACAAUUUGGGUCCAAUUGCCUUUUAAAUCCCUCCUUUUUAAGGACUUAAACUAUUUAAUCACAAUUUAAUAAAUUUCGUAUUGUUUUCAAUUUAGUCCUUUUUAAUUGAUUGACUAACCAAACGUUAAAAUUUUCUAACGAAACUUUAAUACUAACUUAAUAACACUCCAUAAAUAUUUAUAAAAAUAUUUAUGGCUCGGUUUAUAAAUCCGAGGUCUCGAUACCUCGUUUUCAACCAAAUUUACCUGAUUAAUUCUUUUAAAAUCGCAAAAUUCACUAAUUAAAAAUAAUUCUUUUAAGUUCGCGCUUGGGCUAUAAUUAUUAUUUGUUAAAAUUUCUAAACUUACUCGUCGGAUUUAGUGAUCUCGAAUCACUGUUUCCGACACUACUGAAAAAUUGGCUGUUACAUAUUGAGUGUUUAGCAGAUACAUCACGGUGGUUUCAAAAAAGUUUAGAGCGAAAAAGGAAGAAACAAUGUGAUACAAUGAUUAUAGGUCGAGCAAAAAUGUGUGAAAAAAGAAAAAUCUAGAAAAAGUAAAAAGUAAAAAUAAGAAGAAAAAGUACAAAAUAAAAUCAAAAGCAUUGUGAGUGAGAAAAAAAGUAAAAAGUCAAGUGACAAAAUAAAAAGUCACAAAAGUGAGAGAAAAACUCAGUCAUCAAUGCACAAAAACUCAUUCAGCCAACCAUAGUUGUUAGUAUUAUAUUGUCUCUUCCUAUAUGGAGAGAUAAGGAAGGUGAGAGAGGGAGAAAAAAGACGACAAGCUUGAAAGGGGCACCUAAGGGAAGAGAAGGAAUAAUGUCAUGUGCCUAACUAUUUCUAGUGUUUGAACUAUUUUGAGCCAUAUCUUUCUUUGAACUCGUACCGUCCUAAGCCUCAGAAUGUUACAAGCCUAAAAGACCAAUGUGACUUAAGCGUUCUCUGUGCAUAAUCUUCCGGUACUACUAACAAUUGUACUUAAUGAAAAUUUUUGAUUCACAUGAUUGUAUCUGCUACAUAUCUAUUUGAUUUCUGUUAAUGGUGAUAUUGUUAAACAUUUGAUUGUGAGAAUUGCUUCUAAUUUAUUAGUGAUGUAACUUUGUAAACUAAUCUUAAUUUACUUUAAAAAGUUUUCAAUACAUCAAACUAUCAAAAAUAAGUUGCAUGUGCGAUAAAAUUUUUUGUACCUUUACUAUUUGACAACCAUAUUCGUAGUAGUAAUAAAUUCUAAGGGACGUCUUCUUUUUGCAUGCUAUAUGUCUACACUUAGUUUGCUUGAGGACAAGCAAAAAGUUAAGUGUGGGGGAGUUUAAGUGUGAGAUUCUUAUUUACAUCCAUCUUCACUAACUUUACAUUUGUUUAAAUAAAGAAAUCAAGUUAUUUUCGUAUUUUUUUUCCUUUUUCCCAUAUAUGUGUUUUGGUUGCUUGAGGACAAGCAACAAGUUAAGUGUGGGGGGAGUGAUCUACCACGAAUUAUACUAUUAUUUACAUCCCUUUUUACACAUAAUUGUAGCUUGUUUAAUAGUAAAUCAAAUUAUCUCAGUAUCUAUGUUUUCAUACUUGAAGUAAUGACAUAUGCUUUUUAGUAGUUUUUAUUACAUCCUAGAUAUCUAAAUAAGGUUACAUGGUCUUGUAGGACAAAUCGGGAGCUAAAAAUGCAUAAGCAGGCCGAAAAUGUUGGUUAUGUCGUAACACCAAGACACCGAUGUCACAACAUCAGGGACAAAAGCAAAACAAGUCCUGGAGCAAAACUGCUUGUUAUGUCUUGACAUAGCAAGCACCAGAUUCGAUUUUGCAACAUUGCAUGCCUAUGUUGCAACACCACUUCUGCGCAGUCCAAAAGUCCUAGUACGUGACAGUUGUGUUUUUUAGGGAAAUUAGGAGUAUUUUUCCUAGUCAAACUCUAAGUACUUCAAGGAUAGUUUAGACACUUUAAUAUUCCAAGUUUAACCUAUAUAAAGGCCAUUGUAAUAAGUUCAAACACACAAUUUUAAGGAGACAAAAAUUAUUCUUACUUUUUUAUUUUGUUCUUAGUUUCUACUUAGUUUAUUUUAUGUUCUUGUAAUCGAAAGAUCCUAUUCCAAAGUAAGACUUUAGUGAGAGGAGAUUGUUCGGAGUCAUGCUUUCAUCGAUAAAUCCAUGAGCAUAUCUUUUCUUUAUUUUAUUCUCUAUAUUUUUUUCUUUAUCAUUGUUAAUUGAAUGUUUGUGUAAAGAUUAGAAUCAAUUUAUAAUUUAUAUAUAUUUUGCAUGUUUCAAUUUUACUAAUCUUAUUACUUGAUUGAUUGGUAGAGUUCAUUUGGAUUGGUUAGAUCUGGUUGAGUGUUAUUAAACCCUAGGGUUUACGAUCCUAGGAAGUCAUCUAGGUAGGAAUUAACUUGAAAUUGGUAUUUCUUACAAAUCAUUACUUAGCAGAUCAGUGGUUAGGGAAGGAAGAACUUAAACCCUAUGAUAGACAACACUAGGAAGUCAUAUAGUUAUGAAUUAACCCAAAUUUGGUAUUGCCUAUCCAUGAAAACCUUAUCCUACCCCAUUCUAAACUAUAUCAUUGAGAGGUGAGUAGUUCUUGUCGUCUAGUUAGGUUAGUAGAAGUUGAGAAGCCCUGCUAGGUUAAUUAGUAACCAACUAUUUAAAUCCCUACAUUAAUAAUUAAUUAGGUAAAACAAUUGAAUCUAGGCUUAAGAAACUCCCGUAGUCGAAACAAGGGAUAGGAGAAGUUGAUACAUGAACUUAGGAAUAGAUUUAAGUUUAGUUCAAUUUAUUUGGUUAUUAUUAUUAUCAUCUUACUUUCAGAUUAACACUACUAAUCUGAAACUUUAGUAGAUUAGUAGUGAUUUUCGGUAAUUUGCCUAAAAGUAGUUUUUUUUCCAAACUGCAAUCCCUAGGGUAUAAUCCUCGGAAUACUUACCCAGUGUUUCAUUGUAAACAAACUAUAUUACAACCUGACCCAUAUACUUGUAGACACCACCUCAAUUCCAUAUAUUUUGUAACAGUAUUCAUACUUUCGAUGUUGGUAUGUCGAGAGGUGGUCAUUUAGCAAUUUCUAUUCAAAAGUGCAUGUAAGAAAGGAGUCUAGCUAGCUACUCACUAAUUGCUAUAGUACGACAAACCAUUAAUGAAGUUAAUUAAAGCUAAUUACUUAUCUAAGACAAAAAAGGACUAAAUUGUAAAUAACGCAAAACAAAAAAACUACUAAUUAAGAUAAUAGACAAUGGAUGGUUGAUUUCCAUGUUAAUUAACCCUCGAAUUAGGGAUCUAUAUUGCUCACAUUCCUAAGUUGGCUCAAUUUUAUCUUCCGAUCUCAAUUUUACCGACUUAGAUGAAUUAGUUCAGAUUUCACCGAUUAAUCCGGGACUAAUGGACAGGUGUACAACAAGAUUAUUUUAUCUUCCGAUCUCAAUUUUACCGACUUAGACGAAUUAGUUCAGAUUUCACCGAUUAAUCCGGGACUAAUGGACAGGUGUACAACAAGAUUACCUUCCGGUCUCACUUGCCUAAAUAUUCCCUUAUGGGCGUCACUUCCUAAGUUUUUAGAUUUAUUCGAUUUAUUCUCAUUUUGUAAUUUAGUCCCCGAACUCAAAAACUAACCUAGCAACAUUUUCAUCAAACACCUAGUGUUUAGUUACCCAUUACCAUAUUAAAGCUAACAAACAUGAAAGAAACAACUAUGGAACCUGUUAACAUAAACUUGAACAAAAAGAUAAAAGCUUUGAUUUUUAACUUUAUAAAUUUAAAUGAAAAGCAACUAACACAAAGAUAAAGAAACAAGAACACUAAAGAUAAUAGCUUUAACAGAUUAAAAGAAAGAAAACUCAUAUAGCAUUAACUCGAAGAUUAAAAAGUGAUUACAACUAAGUUGAAAGUAUUUAACAUGUAAAUAAAAAUAAGCUAUAGGAAAAACUAACUUAACUAACAACUAUGAAAAUAAGUAAAACCAGAAAGAAACAUAAACUAAAACCCUGAAACUAUAGAGAAGAAAACUACCCUACUCCUAAGUUAGAAGAUGAAAGAAACCCUAAAACUAAAGAGCUUUCUAACCUAAAACUACAACCUUUUUUUUUCUUAGCCAAGAGUGGCUUUUAAUAGUUGAUUCCUGACCCCAAAAAUGUUGCCCAAAUUUACACAUCAAUUUGUGGUAGAUUAAUGGCAAAGGGUCUAUACACCACAAUUUGGUCUAUCUUUGUUUCUCCUAUGUCUAUCAAGCUUUUCACUUCCAUUCAAGUCACUCCCAACCUUACCAUGUGAAGCACUAUUUGUAUCCUUCAACUUUGAUUUGCAUGUGAAUGCCAAGAAGGUCGUUUGUCUUCUAAAUUUGAGGUCUAAAUUUGUUUCUUUGACUGGACCCAAGAAGAUUGACUUUAACAAGCAUCAUUACUUAAAAGUACACCUAUUGUAACACCCCCUAACCCUGUCUCGUUACCGAAAUAGGAUUAUAGAGCAUUACCGAUCAUUACAAUACGUUUGCACAUAAAAAACAAAUAAAUGCAAUACUAUAUAUCUAAUCAUAGCUUUAAUGGACACACAGUACUUAUUAAGUAUAAAUAAAACAAAUCGAGGCUCGAUUGGGAGCUUAGAACAUUUUUCGUGCAAUUUUAAAUUUUCUUCUUUUGAACAGUACCACACGCCCAUGUGGCUAAUAUAACACGCCCGUGUGGCUUGGUACAUGUCAUUAUCAAUAAUUAACAUGUGUUACAAAUGUAUGUACAAUAUUUAUUACACAUGUAUUUUAUUUUUACCAUACACUUGUCUUUCUUUUAUUUAUUUAAUAAUAAUUAAUAUUAUUAAUUUAAAACCUUAAACAUAUAAAAAUCCAAUAAAAAUCUUAGAUUUUAUCUAAGCUUGUCGUCUUAUCUAUAGUAAAUUGGCUUAAUUAUCAUUUUGAUCCUUUUUAUUUUCUUUUAAUCUACAAUUAAACCUUCACACUUCAUUCAAUUUAAUCAUUUUUCCUAAUUAUCCUUAAUUUAAGCUAUUUCACUUCAUUAAACUUUAAUUAACCACUCAAUUAACUUCAUAAAUAUUUUUAAUAAAUAUUUACGAGUCCAUUUUUCAGAAAUGGAGACCUAAAAAUACACUUUUCCGAUAACCGUAAAGUUCGGGUCAUUACAAUUCUCCCCCUUAAUAAAUUUCAUCCUCGAAAUUUGCCUAAAAAGAGGUGGGGGUUCAGUGAUCUCACUGUUUCUUUCGGUUCUCGUAUUGCUUCCUCAAUAUUAUGACUUCACUUUUCAAGCUAAUAUCUCAAUCAGUUCUUCUUUUCCAUACAAUAUAUCAGUUCAAAUUUCAAUAUCAUUUGUCGAGAUAACAUGUAAGAGAUUUGAUCUAUAACUUCCGAGCAUCCAAACAUGAAAAACAUCAUAACUUUUCUGUAAUUUCAAAGGCAAAACCAAGCAAUAUAUCACUGGUCUAACUUUUUCUAUAAUUUCACAUAGCCAAACAGAACAAGAACUCAAUUUCCCAACGUUUUAAGUCUUCAUACGAUUUCUGUUUGUCAAAAACUGCUUUCAGUCUAUCUCAAAUCAAUUUUAUUUUCUUCAGUUUCCCGAAUCAAAAUAACUCUAUCUAUUCCUUUUCUUGCUGCAUCCAGUCAAAUACUAUGAAGUUUUACAUUCACAAUCAUACAGAGCUUCAUACAGUGCUGAAAACUAUUAUCGCGUACCCAAAACUUCUUAUAUUUGUUCUAGAAUCAGAAUGUAAACUAUUUAUCUCAAUCAGAAAUAAUAGAAACUGACAUACCAUGAAUCUGACAAUCUCAGAAACCCAUAUUUCAGAUUAUACUAAGUAAGAAACUUAUUCAUACCAGAAUAAAAUAUGCAAACUUCUCCAUACCUUCGACGAUUAUUCAAAUAUCAUCUUUCUUUUUCGACGAUAAGGAUAAUUUCAUUUCAAACCCAUAGAAAUACUAUCCCAUUUCCAUUUUGAUAUCAUCACUGGCUGUAACAGUCCUGAAGGUAUCAAUAUCUGAUGUUCACUUUGUAAGAGUAUGCCCAAAGAUCAAUCAUGAGAUGGUUGUAAUAACAUACUUGAUUUACCAUGUUUAUUAAUAUAAGGCGUUGCCAUUAUUAUUUCAGUUUCUUUUCUGUGUGUAUAAAUAAACUGUUUUAUAAUAAUGUCCUGAGAAUAAUAUGAUUAUUCUUAAAAGGUCAUUAGUCAAGUAUUAUUGUUGACUAGGACAACAAUAAUGCAUUAAAAAUAACAUGUAGUUGAUUGAUGAUAAAGAGUUGUUAUGGAGUGUCAGAAUCAAUGCAUGAAUAUGUGUGUUAGAGAACAACAUAUUGGACUGACCCGCUAUAAGUAUGGUUCUUAGAUUAUUAUGUAAUUGUCACAACAUUACUCAUAGUGAUUAAUAUGUAUAUGAUCCUCAGACUUGAGAUAAUCAUUAUCCCAACAUCGUGAGAUGUAUAUUCUGAUAUAGUCAAAUGUACACCGUAACUGGUUAUUUUAUAAAGGCUGAUGUUGGAUAUACCACAAUCUAUGUAGAGGGAUAUGGUUGAUCAAUAUAGGAUAAGUCUCUCUUACAUAAUGGGAGUAAUAUCUUAGGCUACUUGAUUGAGUGAGACUAGAAAUGCAUGGCCAUGCUCAAAUAAGUUGAUAUGAGAUGUCAUACUUAUUUGUGUAUCAUAGUCUACUCAAGGUAUCAAGAAACAUGGGAUGGACUAUGCAAAUGUGACUAUUCCAUGACUUGUGUCCAUUCCAGAGAUAAAGGACUUAAGGAUUAAUUUAUGAAAGGUUAAUCACAAUAGGUUAUGUCGAAUCAUGACUUCUUGUAACUUAGGUAGCAAUGAUGCAUUGCUAGAUGCCACUCAUUGUUUGUAACAUUAGAAUCGUUCUAGUAUUACUGCUAACGUUACAAGAACCUAUAGGGUCACACCCUAUGGUUGAAAUGAACGGAAUAAAACAUAGUUGGUAUUGUGUUUGGUUGUCACAUGAAUUAAAUUAAUUAUAGAAUUAAUUUAAUUAGGCAAUCAAAUAUCGAACAUAUUAUAUGUACAAGGAUGUUGUACACAUAAGGAGAACAUAAUUCUAUUAAUAUAUGAAUUUGGUUCGUAUAUAAAUUUAAAUAAAUAUAGUUUACCAAAAUCUUUAUUAUAAGUAAUGUAUAAUUUUCGGUUAAAACAUUAUUAUAUUUAUUUAUUUUAAUUAUGAUUAUUAUGUUCGGAUUAAAAUUUAAUAAAUUAAGAAUUUGUUAUAUACAUACCAAUUAUAAGGGGAGUUAUAUAUUGAAAGGGAGAAAAACCCUAAAAAGUGAAUAUAUAUACAAACCCGAAGCUUUGCUACUAGGUCUAGCAGCCGUCAAGCAAAAUAUCUCUGAAAAUAGUUUUGGGGAUUUCUUCCAUUCAUUAUCAAUUGGGUGGAUUACGUAAAGGCCGGGAUCAUAAAGAUUGCGGUUUGGAUUCAAAAGCAAAAUAGUAUUCUCAUUGCUGAGGCUUUACUGUCUACUCAGAUUGAAAUUUUUGUAAUUUCGAAACCUUUUUCACCCCGAUUCGUUCCUCGCACAUGGAUCCAUGGUUUGGAUAGUCGGAAUAUUUUUUUCACUGUGCCAUGGGGGUACGGGUAUUCCAAUAGUGGUAUCAGAGCCACUUGUGUGAUACGGACUCGGGUUUAAAUACUUGGGUGAUACAAUUGUAUGAGAUGCAUGCUUUAUUUUUAUUACGAUUUUUGACUAUUUAUAUCGUCUAAGCAUAAACUGAUUACCGUUCCUUUCGAUAAUUGAUUAAAUGUUAAUCAUGGUGUUAUGGCCUAUUCAGUUUCAUGUUAUUACUGUUAACUUUAAAAAUCUGUAAUGAUGCGACGGUGGUAUUUAUAGUUUCCAGUAAGAGUUAACUGGCUAGUGGAACAAGGGUUGUUCCGAUAUGAAACCUCAAGGAUUCAAAUCCUGAAAACACGAUUCUGUUGAUAAAAGUUAUCAAAUCGUGAGCUUUCAUUUGACUGGGGUAUGCGGUUCCCAUCAUCUUUCAGUAUGUUUUGUAAUAAAUAAAACCUGAUGGGCCAUAAAAGGUUGAAAGGAUAUUUUAUAAUUCAUUUAGCAAAACGUUGAAUGAUGUAUGCUAUUUUUGAAAUGCACGGUGUUUGAAAUGCAUAGUUAUAGCCCGAUGACCCAUUUGAUAAAAUGUUGUAAUUUUAUAAAUACAACCUGCGUGUUGUGCCUUACUACUAUUCUCUUCUAUUUCUCUUCUCACCUUACUCCCUCGUAUGUAAAACGAGUUUCUGAAUAUUGUAAUUUGCAAAAGCUGCUAUGGACUAGACGAGAAGGAAGAUGAGCCAACUAAUGUGGACUGACAGCUUGUGAAACGGCUUACACCUUUAGGUUUCCUUUUGGUUCUCCCAUUGGCUUGGGUUGAACCACCAUAGUUUAUGGGCUAUAAUGCAUUUAUUUAUUGCUUUAUCUAUUCAUGUAUGAGAUGCUAUAGAUGUCCAAAGCAUACAAAUUUGGUAAUAAUAAACCCUAUUAAUUGAUGAGAUCAAUUAAAAUAUUAAAUGGACUGAAGUAGACCAUAAUUGGUGAGAUACAACAACUUUAAUAAAAUCCCUCUAUUUAAAUAUUAAGUCAACAUGGCCUUCCAAAUUUUUCCCUCAUUAAGGCCUCGAUCAAUACUAUGUAGGUUCUGCCAAAGUGAAGUAGUAGUAUUUAUCUUGGUUAAACGCGAAGAAUAAACAAGUGAUAUUCGCUAUUUAAAAAUUGGUUAAUGACUUAACUAGGUUACUCUAAUAGGAUUAGAAACCUAGAAGCAAGUAAUUUGGAUAAAUCAUAAGAUGAUUAGAACAAGAGUUGUUCAUCAAAUUGUAGGAGUUACAUAUGAUGUAAUUAGCAAGUGUUGCUUACCUAAAUAACCAUAAUCUUGAGAGUAAAGCCAAAGCUGACUUAAGAGGAGGUGAAAUAUGGAUCCUUAACCCACUAGAAAUACUUUCAAGAAAGUCUUUCUGAAAUUAAUAUAUGAGGGUUAUUAAUUUUGAAAUAAAAUAGUAGGAACAUCAUAUAAUAAAGUCCUUUUAAUGAUUGAUAUAAACUUGGUAAAUUUAUUCACACGCAUAUUUUAUUGUUGUAGAUAUAUUAUGGCUGCAAACACUAAUACACUCUCAUUGCGAUCGAUUCUUAAGAAGGACAAAUUGAAUGGUUUGAACUUUCUUGACUAGUACCGUAACUUGAGGAUUGUCCUCAAACAAGAACGGAAAUUAUAUGUCAUUGAACAACCACUUCCUAAUGAACCACCCGCUAAUGCCUCGAGGGCUGAUAGAGAUGCUUACAAGAAACAUCUCGAUGACAUGGUAGAUGUUGGAUGUAUUAUGCUUGCUACUAUGAAUCCUGAGCUUCGGAAGCAACAUGAGGACAUAGUUGCUUAUGAUAUGAUCGAGCACCUGAAAGAACUUUAUCAGGGGCAAGCACGGCAAGAGAGGUUCGAUAUCUCUAAGGCCCUUUUCCAAUGUAAGCUGGAUGAAGGAAGCCCAGUAAGACCUCAUGUCCUUAAGAUGAUUGGUUAUAUUGAAAGCCUAUCUAAGCUUGGGUUUCCAUUGAGCCAAAAGUUGGCAACUGAUGUUAUUCUGCAAUCGUUGCUGGAUAGCUACAGCUAGUUUGUCCUCAAUUUCAAUAUGAAUAAAAUUGACAAGACUCUGCCACAGCUGCUCAGUAAGUUGUGAACUGCUGAAGGCAACAUGAAAAAGGUUGGACCCAAGCCCAUACUGAUGGUCCGUAACAACAAGGGCAAGGGAAAGGCCAAAGUUCAGGCAAAGCCCAAGGGCAAAGGUAGGCCCAAUCCUGGAAAAGGAAAGGUUGCACUGAAACCUAAAGGUGGGGUGUCUAAGGAAGGAAACUAUUUUCAUUGUGGUGUGACUGGACAUUGGAAGCGGAACUGCCCUCUCUAUCUUGAGGAAAUCAAGAAGGCCAAGGCAAGCGGAACGUCUGCUUUAGGUAUUUAUGUUAUUGAUAUUAAUUUAUCAAUUACUACUUUUUGGGUAUUAGAUACUGGUUGUGGUUCUCAUAUUUGUACUUCUGUACAAGGACUACAAAGGAAUAGGACUUUGGCUAGAGGAGAUAUGGACCUGGGAGUUGGAAAUGGAGCAAGAGUUGCUGCAAUAGCUGUGGGAACAUAUACUUUAUCUUUUCCUAGUGGACUUGAUUUAUGUUUAGAGGAUUGUUAUUUUGUGCCCAUUUUAACUAAAAACAUUAUUUCAAUUUCUCGUUUAGACAAAAUUGGUUUUGAGAUAAUUAUUAAUAAUAAUUGUUGUUCAUUUUAUCUCAAUAAUGUUUUCUAUUGUUCGGCACAAUUGAUUAAUGACCUCUAUAUUUUAGAUCAAAUAAAUCUCAUUUACAACAUAAAUACUAAAAGAUCUAAAAUAAAUGACUCAAAUCAAACUUAUCUUUGGCAUUGUCGUUUGGGCCACAUAAGUAAGAAACGCAUAUUCAAACUCCAUAAAGAUGGUCUCUAGGAUGCAUUUGUUUUUGAACAAUUUGAAGUAUGUGAAUCUUGCUUAUUGGGAAAAAUGACUAAAUCUCCUUUUACUGGUAAAAGUGAACGAGCUAGUGAUUUAUUAGGCUUAAUACAUUCUGAUGUAUGUGGACCAAUAAAUACACUGGCCAGAGGUGGAUUUCAUUACUUUAUUACUUUCACUGAUGAUUUUAGUAGAUAUGGGCAUGUUUAUCUCAUGCGCCAUAAGUCUGAGGCCCUUGAAAAGUUCAAGGAAUUCAAAAAUGAAGUACAAAAUCAACUAGGCAAAACUAUCAAGGCACUUCGAUCUGAUCGAGGUGGAGAGUAUUUGAGCUUAGAGUUUGAUGAUCUUUUGAAGGAAUGUGGGAUUGUCUCACAACUUAAUCCUCCUGGUACUCCUCAAUGGAAUGGAGUUUCUGAAAGAAGAAAUCGAACUCUGUUAGACAUGGUUCGAUCCAUGAUAAGUCAUGCUGAUCUACCGACUUCCUUUUGGGGACAUGUACUUGAAAAAGCUACUUUCACACUAAAUCGUAUUCCAUCUAAAUCAAUUCAAAAGACGCCAAAUGAGAUGUGGACUGGGAAACGUCCCAAUAUGUCUUUUAUGAAAAUUUGGGGUUGCUAAGCUUAUCUUAAAUGUUAGACGUCUACUAAGCUUGAACCCAAAUCUGAAAGGUGUAUUUUUGUGGGGUAUCCGAAAGAAACCAAAGGAUAUUAUUUCUUUAAUCCCACUGAGAACAAGAUGUUUGUUGCUCGGACUGGUGUCUUCUUAGAGAGAGAAUUUGUUUCUAGAAAAGGAAGUAGGAGAAAGAUUAAACUUGAAAAAAUUCGAGAAUCACAAGAUACCACUGAACUAGAGAUAGAACAACAGUAAAUUCCACAAGAAAUUGAGGAACAAGUAACUGCUGUAGAAACACAAUCACCGCCGCAGAUCUUUAAGAGAACGCCAUACACCUGAGAGAUAUGGAUUUCUCAUUACAACACAUGGUGACGUUCUUCUUAUCGAUCAAUAUGAGCCUAGAACUUAUCAAGAAGCGGUGACGAGCCCAGACUCUGAGAAAUGGCUUGAAGCCAUGAGAUCUGAGAUGGAAUCCAUGUAUGAAAACCAAGUAUGGAGUACGAUUGACCCACUCGAAGGGGUUAAACCCAUAAGGUGCAAAUGGGUUUUCAAAAAAAAACCGACAUGGAUGGUAAUGUACAAACAUACAAGGGGCGAUUAGUCGCUAAAGGUUUUCGCCAAAUUCAUGGUGUUGACUAUGAUGAAACCUUUUCUCCUGUAGCUAUGUUUAAAUCCAUCAGGAUCUUGCUCGCCAUAGCUGCAUUUCAUCAUUAUAAAAUCUAGCAGAUGGACGUCAAAACAGCUUUCCUUAACGGGAAACUUGAAGAGGAUGUGUACAUGACACAGCCUGAAGGUUUUAUCAAUCCAAAGGAUGCUAAAAAGAUAUGUAAGCUACAAAGAUCCAUUUAUGGAUUAAAGUAAGCUUCUCGAAUUUGGAAUCUUCGUUUUAACGAUGCAAUCAAAGAGUUUGGUUUUAUCAAAAAUGAAAAUGAGCCAUGUAUUUACAAGAAAGUUAGUGGGAGCACUAUCACAUUCUUGGUACUAUAUGUGGAUGACAUACUUAUCAUGGGAAAUGACAUACCUACCUUGCAGUCUAUUAAGACUUGGUUAGGAAGUUGUUUUUCUAUGAAGGACUUGGGCAAAACCACUUACAUAUUAGGAUUCAAGAUCUAUAGAGAUAGAUCAAGACGAUUACUAGGUCUAAGCCAAAGUACAUACAUAGAUAAAGUAUAGAAAAGGUUCAACAUUGAAGAAUCUAAGAGAGGAUUCCUACCUAUGAGGCAUGGUAUUUCACUCUCGAAGGAAAUGUGUCCUUCAACUCUACAAGAGAGAGAACGCAUGAGUAAAAUUCCAUAUGCUUCUGCUAUUGGAUCUAUCAUGUAUGCCAUGUUAUGUGCCCGUCCAGAUGUCUCAUAUACCUUAAGUAUGACGAGCAGGUACCAAGUAGAUCCCGGUGAAGGUCACUGGACCACAGUCAAGAAUAUUCUUAAGUACUUGAGAAGAACAAAGGAUACAUUCCUAAUAUAUGGAGGUGAGGAAGAGUUAAGUGUAAAAGGUUACACCGAUGCCAGCUUCCAAAUCGACAAGGAUAAUUCUCGAUCUCAAUCAGGUUUUGUGUUUUGCCUUAAUGGUGGUGCAGUGAGCUGGAAGAGUUCAUAGUAAAGUAUAGAAGCCGAUUCUACAACAGAGGCCGAGUAUAUUGCAGCCAGUGAGGCAACAAAAGAAGCAGUUUAGAUCAAGAAUUUCAUCACUGGACUAGUGAUUGUGCCUAGCAUAUCAGAUGCUAUAGAACUCCGAUGUGAUAACAAUGGAGCCAUUGCACAAGCUAAAGAACCCAGAUCUCACUAGCGAUCCAAACAUAUACUUAUGCGCUACCAUAUUAUUUGAGAGAUUAUCGAUCGAGGGGAUAUAGAGAUAUGUAGAGUAACUACAAAUGACAACAUUAUUGAUCCCUUUACCAAGCCUCUAACACAGCAGAAGCAUGAUCGUCACACUAAGUCACUUGGUAUUAGAUAUAUGAGUGAUUGGUCUUAGUGCUAGUGGGAGAUUGUAAGAGUAUGGCCAAAGAUCAAUCAUGAGAUGGUUGUAAUAACAUACUUGAUUUACCAUGUUUAUUAAUAUAAGGUGUUGCCAUUAUUAUUUCAGUUUCUUUUAUGUAUGUAUAAAUAAACUGUUUUAUAAUAAUGUCCUGAGAAUAAUAUGAUUAUUCUUAAAAGGUCCUUAGUCAAGUAUUAUUGUUGACUAGGACAACAAUAAUGCAUUAAGACUAACAUGUAGUUGAUUGAUGAUAAAGAGUUGUCAUUGAUAUGGAGUGUUAGAAUCAAUGCAUGAAUAUGUGUGUUAAAGAACAACAUAUUAGACUAACCCGCUAUGAGUAUGUUUCUUGGAUUAUUAUGUAAUUGUCACAACAUUACUCAUAGUGAUUAAUAUGUAUAUGAUCCUCAGACUUGAGAUAAUCAUUAUCCCAACAUCGUGAGCUGUAUAUUUUGAUAUAGUCAAACGUACACUAUAACUGGUUGUUUUAUAAAGGCUGAUUUUGGAUAUACCACAAUCUAUGUAGAGGAAUUUGGUUGAUCAAUAUAGGAUAAGUCCCUCUUACAUAAUGGGAGUAAUAUCUUAGGCCACUUGAUUGAGUGAGACUAGAAAUGCAUGGCCAUGCUCAAAUAAGUUCAUAUGAAAUGUCAUACUUAUUUGUGUAUCAUAGUCUACUCAAGGUAUCAAGAAACAUGGGAUGGAUUAUGCAAGUGUGACUAUUCCAUGACUUGUGUCCAUUCCAGAGAUAAAGGACUUAAGGAUUAAUGCAUGAAAGGUUAAUCACAAAAGGUUAUGUCGAAUCAUGACUUCUUGUAACUUAGGUAGCAAUGAUGCAUUGCUAGAUGCCACUCAUUAUUUGUAACAUUAGAAUCGUUCUAGUAUUACUGCUAACGUUACAAGAACCUAUAGGGUCACACCCUAUGGUUGAAAUGAACGGAAUAAAACAUAGUUGGUAUUGUGUUUGGUUGUCACAUGAAUUAAAUUAAUUAUAGAAUUAAUUUAAUUAGGCAAUCAAAUAUCGAACAUAUUAUAUGUACAAGGAUGUUGUACACAUAAGGAGAACAUAAUUCUAUUAAUAUAUGAAUUUGGUUCAUAUAUAAAUUUAAAUAAAUAUAGUUUACCAAAAUCUUUAUUAUAAUUAUGUAAUAAUAAUUUUCGGUUAAAAUAUUAUUAUAUUUAUUUAUUUUAAUUAUGAUUAUUAUGUUCAGAUUAAAAUUUAACAAAUUAAGAAUUUGUUAUAUACAUACCAAUUAUAAAAGGAGUUAUAUAUUGAAAGGGAUAAAAACCCUAAAAAGUGAAUAUAUAUACAAACCCGAAGCUUUGUUACUAGGUCUAGCAGCCGUCAAGCAAAAUAUCUCUGGAAAUAGUUUUGGGGAUUUCUUUCGUUCAUUGUCAACUGGGUGGAUUAUGUAGAGGUCGAGAUCAUAAAGAUUGUGGCUUGGAUUCAAAAGCAAAAUAGUAUUCUCAUUUCCGAGGCUUCACUGUCUACUCAGAUUGAAAUUUUGGUAAUUUUGAAACCUUUUUCACCCCGAUUCGUUCCUCGCACAUGGAUCCAUGGUUUGGAUCGCUGGAAUAUAUAUAUAUAUUCCACUAUGCCAUGGGGGUACUGGCGUUCCAACAUAGUUUUCAUCUAAUUUACGAGAUUAUUCAUCUCCAGUAUACGUUUCAUAAUCAAUACCAUCGAUAUGUUCAUCUAACAUUUUCAACUAUAAAACAGAACCAAGCAAUUAUAUCAGCAUCCGAUCCCGACUCAAGUUUAACAUAGAAAUGGCAUGUACUUUUAGAAUCUUUUCUAAACUCUAUUUAGUCCUAGAAUCGACUAAACCUAAGUAGCUCUGAUACCACUAAAUGUAACUUCCCCUAACCCCGUCCCGUUCCCAGAACAAUAUUAUAGAGCAUUACCGAUCAUUACAAUACGUUUGCAUAUAAAAAUAAAUAAAUGCAAUACUAUAUAUCUAAUCAUAGCUUUAAUGGACCCACAGUACUUAUUAAGUAUAAAUAAAACAAAUCGAGGCUCGAUUGGGAGCUUAGAACAUUUUUCGUGCAAUUUUAAAUUUUCUUCUUUUGAACAGUACCACACACCUGUGUGGCUAAUAUAACACGCCUGUGUGGCUUAGGACACGUCCGUGCCCUUAGCCCGUGUGCAACAUUGAAUUUAAAACACGGCCUUGACACACGCCCGUGUGUCAGGCUGUGUGGACUCAAUAAUGAGCCUUUCACACUUUACUAGCCAACCCUGCAAAAUUUCAAUCUACAACCAAUACAAAUAUUUUAUAUAUAUAUACUAUCCAAUUUUAGCAAUAAAACAUACAUCCAAUUUGCCCUCAGUGGUACCACAAUUUAUAUCAAUUAAACAUUAUCAUACAAACCUAAUUAAUUUUCUUAGGUUUAGUUACCAAAAUUUACAUGUUUCAUACAUAAUUCAACAUCGUUAUAUCUUUCAUUACCAUUUACAAACAUUAACUUAAUGAUCUAGGUACAUGCCAUUAUCAACAAUUAACAUGUGUUACUAAUGUAUGUACAAUAUUUAUUACACAUGUAUUUUAUUUUUACCAUACACUUGUCUUUCUUUUAUUUAUUUAAUAAUAGUUAAUAUAAUUAAUUUAAAACCUUAAACAUAUUAGAAUCCAAUAAAAAUCUUAGAUUUUAUCUAAGUUUGUCGCCUCAUCUAUAGUAUAUUGGCUUAAUUUCCAUUUUGAUCCUUUUUAUUUUCUUUUAAUCUACAAUUAAAUUUUCACACUUCAUUCAAUUUAAUCCUAUUUCCUAAUUAUCCUUAAUUUAAGCUAAUUCACUUCAUUAAACUUUAAUUGACCACUCACUUAACCUCAUAAAUAUUUUUAAUAAAUAUUUACGAGUCCAUUUUUCAGAAAUAGAGACCCGAAAAUAUACUUCUCCGAUAACCAUAAAGUUCGGGUCAUUACACCUAUGAUAAUUUUUCCUUUAGACCCAAAAUUUUAGUUAAUAAAAGUUGAACCAAGUAUUUUGUAAUUGGUGAUGUCAUAUCCUGUUAAUGUAGCAUGCUUCCACCCACCUAUAGAAAGAACUAUAAUCUAUUGUAAGAUGGCCAUUCAUGCAACAACUCGCAUGUCUGAUGAACAGGCUAAAUGCUAGAAUUGUGCACUUCCAGUUGGUGGAUUAUCAAGCAAAAAGACUUUGGCAAAAAAUGUGGCGAACAGUCCAAGUGUAAGGCAUAAUGGCGGACAAUCUAACCACCAACUGCCUUGAAGCUUUUGUUACAAGCUAACAAGUUUUCAACUUGUUCUAUAAAGUUGCAAGAUUAUUUUAUUUAUCUUUAUUUUGAUAGGUUAAUGUAAACAGUGUUGAUUAAACAAAAAUCAACUAAUGAGUAGGUACCAUGUAUUUAGACUUACCAACUUGUCAAGUUGUAGUUAAUACUUUUCUAUUUAAAGCUAUAUAUUUGAUUGCUAAUCUUUGCUUUGUUUUCUUUUUCCUUUGUAUCAAAAACCAACAAUUGGUACCUAGAGCCAGUCAUUUUUUAGGGCAUUUGAUUUAUCAAAAACCUAUGUUUCUUUGUUGUUUUGUAAAAAUGUCUUCAACUAGUUUUAUACCUCAUGCACCACUAGUUUUUAAUGGUGAAAACUACCAUAUUUUGGUAGUCAAGAUGAAGACCUACUUAAAAUUUUUUAACUUAUGGGAGGUUGUGAGUGCAGAUGUAGAGCCACCAUCAUUAAGAGCCAAUUCGACUUUAACAUAGAUUAGGCAGCAUAAUGAUGAUCAUGCUAAGAAAUUCAAGGUAAUUUCGUGUCUUCAUAAUGGUGUUUCUGAUGUGAUUUUCACGAAAAUUAUGGCCUAUGAGACUCCAAAACAAGCUUGGGAUAAGUUGAAGGAAGAGUUUUAAGGUACAGACAAAACAAGACAGCAACAAAUUAUCAACUUGAGGAUAGAUUUUGAGAACCUAAAGAUGAAGGAGUCUGAAACUAUUAAACAGUAUUCUAACAAAAUCAUGGAUGGUAUAAACAACAUAAGAUUUCUUGGAGAUUAGUUUCCUGAUAGCAGAGAAGUUGAGAAGGUGAUCAUUACACUUCCUAAGAGGCAUGAGUGAAAAAUAUCCUCUCUUGAAGAUUCGAGAGACCUAUCAACAAUCUCUCUAUCAUAACUAAUAAAUUCAUUGUAUGCUCAAGAACAAAGGAGAGUUGCAAGGUAGAAGAAGCAUGUUGAGGGAGCUUUUCAAGCAAGAAAUUAGGAAGGCUUGAGCUCCUCUAACAAUAAAGGAAAGAAAAUCAGGUAAAAAAGACAGAGAGGUCGAGGAGAGAAGGUGUAAAGAAGAAAUAUCCAUAAUGCUCUCGCUAUAAAACGAUUACUCAUUGUGAGAAGUUUUGUUGGUUCAGACCAGACAUACAAUGCAAAACUUGCAAGCAGUUUGGACACGUAGAGAAGGUUUGCAAUAAUAAAGUGUGAAAACCCAACAGCCACAACCACAUUAGAAUAUCCAGGCUUAAGCAACUAAGAGAAAUCAUGCUUAGGAGGAGCAAGUGUUCGUAACCUCUUGUUUUGCACCUAAAAACAAAAUCACAAAAGGUUGGCUAAUCGACAAUGGAUGUACCAACAUAUGACCUCAAAUGAAGCAUCUUCAAAAAGAUUAAUAAAAGUUGCAUUUCAAAAGUGAGGGUUAGAAAUGGCGAACUCAUACAAGCCAAAAGCAAAGUAGGUGUACUGAUCAAUAAGUUAUCAGGUACAAAAGUAAUUUCAGAUGUUCCUUUAGUACCUGAAAUAGAUCAUAAUCUUCGAUAAAGAUAUGAGGCUUUUUUUGGGGACUUCUAAUGUUAGAAAUGUUAGUAAAAAGGUAUAUGAAUAGAUUUUGAUGUGUUUUUAUGUUCUAUAUCAAUGGUUCCUGUUGAUUGCUUUGCGAUGGGUGAGAAUCAGAUGAGUCUCUAAACUGACUUUUGUGUGUAUUAUUCAUACUAGAAAAGCUGUAAGAAAUUGGUUGGAAGGUGAUGUGUGGUCUUGUAAGUUACAGUAUGUUGUGUAUGUGACUUAGGAGUGACUAUUAAAGGAUAUAUAUGACUGUGUCAAUGUUUAUUAAGAAUAGAAUGCAUAUCUGGUAUGAAUAUGAUAGUUCUAGUAAGGCGAUAUGAGGUAUGGUUGCAUCUGAAUGUCAUGAAUAUAUAUGUGUGUGUCUUUGAUGUAUGCUAUGAGGAAUGUUUUUUUAAGAGUAAGUUGUUAUUCAAAUGGUGAAUUUGGAUCAUGUCAGUGCAUGUAGAGUAUGUGUCUGUCUUCGCGGUAUUGUCUAAAGGAGUCUGUUAGGACUUUAAGUACAAAUUCUGAAAAGAAAAUUCCAUGCCUUCCAAAAGGAACUAAAUGAUGGUAAUUACCCAAUGGGGUUAUCUGCGUAUCCCAGGAUGAUGAUAGGAAAACCUCACGCAAUGUGAGUUUAAGAAAAUCCAUAUGUAAACACGUCAGGAAAUGAAGCCUUUGUAGAUAACUUUAAAAAGAAAGCCUUUGUGGCUAACUCUGAAAAGGAAGCCUUCAUGUCAAACUCUGAAGGAAUAGCCUCUAUGGUAAGCCUUUGUGGUGUAAUGUAAAAGGAACACCUAUGUGGCGAAUUAUGAAAAUAAUAGCCUUUGUGGUGGAUUAUGAAAGAGCACCAUUCAUAGCGAAAUUCGAAUGGGCUACCCUUGUGGCAUGUCUUAAUAAAGCUCUUAGUGGGAAAUGUUUAAAAGAUGACCCUUGUGGUAAUUUUUGAAUUAAGCUAAUUGUCGUAUUCAAUUUGGCUUUCAAAUGUAUUCAGAACACAAGCAGCAAGGUAUAAGUUAUCUAUUAAUUAUACGGUGAAGUAUCACAUAAGACUAUCAAUCGAUUAAAAGUAUUGAAUUGAAGAGAUAUAGAGAAAUGAGGAAUUAGUAUGGGAAGUGUAUUCAGAAUAAGGAUUUGAAAUUGUACGUUUGAAGAAGGUAUCUGUCAUCUAUGCACAUGGUCAUACUUGAAUCAUGGUGAAGUGAUGGCUUAGAACUAAGUAUGUUACAGUAAUAGUGUGUUGGUUAAGUUGAUCUUGGAAAGGAAAUGAAAAAAUACUUAUAAAUGCUCGAACGAAAGGCGUGCGUGAUGUAUCGAAUACCCCAAUGGAAAAAGAGUUAAUUUUUGAGUAAGGCAUGAUAUAUAUAGUGUAUGAAGAAUGGAAUUUGACGGAAGCAAUCGCCAAAGACAGGUUUUGAGAGUAAAUCCUAUCUACAAUUGAGAUUCUUAAAGGAUAGAAUCAAUCUUUUAAGAUUACAAAAUCAAGUCUUAUCAUGUUACAUAUCUUCUAAGAUUGGUUUCCUUAUUUGCCAAUAUAGCCCAAAUUUUCCAUAAAUGCUUCACUGGACCACCAAGGCUUCAAGGAGACAGGCUUCUCCACAUGCUCCACAAAUUGAGCCAAUUCAAAUGCGUCGAAUGAGCCCCAUUUCAUCAUUUGACCUCCAUGGAACAAUCUUUGCACAUUCAUCACGGGCUCUGAUCCGCGGCCUAUGACAUAAGCACAUAAAUGUUUAGUAAGUUCAAUUGGCAAGUAUUAUACUUACCUUGCUAGGUGGACCUACAAAUUCAUUGCUCAACAAGCUUCAUAUUCUCAUGUUAGUUACUUAGGAUAAGAUAAGGCAAAUGUAUAGGUAACCAUGUUCAUUAAUACCAUACAAGCAAAUUAUAACAUGUCCAAUAAGUGUUCAUUAUAUUCUAUUGAUCACAUGUGCACCUAUUUCCAAUUUAUUACAACCUUUCAAUUACAAUUCACAAGUUAAAAUAAUCAAGUUCAUACCUUUUUCAACCUUAAUUAUUUUAUUUAACCAUUUCUUGUCUGAUAUCAAUUUUGUAGCCCAUGUAAUCUUAGUAAAAUAGGACCCAAGUACUAUGAGAAAACCAAAAACUGUAUGAGCAUCGAAGUGCUAAGCUCGAAGACUAUCACAUAUCAUAUCAUGUAGGCCUCCGAAGAGGUAUUGAAAGUCUAAUGGUCUACAACAAAUGUUUUACCAAGGGUAAGAUAGAACUAGGUCUUCAGAAAACAAACCACAUACCUCUGAACCUCACACCACAACAAAAGUACUUAGGUGUAAGGCAUGAAGGCAACGUAUAACAAAUAGGCUCAAAGGCGACAUACACAUAUAACCCUAAUUGACAUGCCAAUCAUAUCCUAACCUUUCUACCAAGUUUACAUGAGCUAUCAUUAACAUAUUAAAGAAUUCACAUCAAGUACCAUUAAAGCAAUUUUUCACAUGUAUUGUCAUAUUUCCAUAAUGCCACACUUUAAUCACAAGAGUUAAAAUCUUCAACUGAGGUUUUCAUACCACAUGAAUUUACAUGUUUGUUCAUUCACAUUAACAUGGUUACUAAUCUCAUAAUCAUACUAAAUCUUAACUUGACAUAGUCAAUUACCAUAUUUAACACCUUGUUUCAUAUUUAAUUCUUUGCACAACAUGGUUUAGUCUAUAAACAUAUUAACUAGUAUAAUCCAUUAAGGUUCUGUUAAUAUACUUGUUAAUUAAUCAUCCAUUCUUGAUCUUAGCAUGUUAUAUUCAUUAUGCAUCAAAUUAAAUGUUGUUGAGCUAUUUAACACUUAUAAACAUUGUACUAAAAACACAUAAUAAGCAAAUAUUAUAAGUUCAAGUGAACUUACCUAUUAAGAUAUGGCUAAAAUGAAUGAAAGAUCAUUUAAUGAUCAUCAAUUUAAAUUUUCAUUUCCUUAACUUAAGCUUCAUUUGGUUAGCCUUAUUCUACUCAAAAUACAUACAACACAUACAAGCAUUGAAUUAAUAAUUUGAAUCUCCUUUGGUUAGUCUUACAAGCAUUGGAUUAAUUGAAUUCAACACUUGAUAGCCAUAUAGUGGCCACUUUACUUGUUGAAAAUUCAAGAAUGCUUAACCUUUGACGCAUAGACUUUUAUAUCCAAAAUUGAUAUAACUCCCAAUUUUCCUAUUCAAUUUUUUUGUUCCAACUUUAAAAUUAUAAUUUUAAGACCUCAAAUGAUCCAAAAACAUGUUUAAACUCCAAAGUUCUCAUCAUUAUCUCUAAGGCUUCUUAAGUACUCAACAAUGUUGGUAUGAACAUCCUUCAUACCAAUUUCUAAUCUACCUUCUUUUCUAACUUACUUACACUCUUCUAAGUUCAUCCCAACAAAAGCAUUGAACUAUCAUGAUCAAGCUUUAUCUCUUUAAGUUCCAAGCAUUCAUCUAUGAUUAUCUAAGGAUUUUUCUCAUCAAUUUUAACAUCGAAAUGAAUGGGCUCAUGCUUAUCUAUUAUUUUAUGCUAUCAAUUAAACCAAAAUUCAAAGGAAACUUAUCAAUUUCUUGAAGAGCAGCUAACGGCACCAUGAAAGCUCCAUGAAAAUUUCCUUUUUCUUCUUUGUUCUUAAACGAUGGAGAAUGGAUGAGGAUGACCAUGUAAUAAGCUUAUUCUCUCACCCACUAAGCAUAUAUAUACCUAAUUAAUCAAUUUAUUAACCUUUAAUAAUAAUCAUCCAAAGUUGGGAUUUAAGCAUGACAAAUUGAGCGGAAAUCUAUGGCUUUUGCCAUGCUUCUCCACUAAGUAAAUAAAUGAUGGUUUAUUUGUCAUUUUAAGGCAUUUGAUUAAUUUUUCAUCCAAUCCUCCAAACCUUGCAAGUUCACAUUUAGAUCUUAUGCAUCAAUUAUUAAUUUAUCAAUUUAAUCCAUUAAUAAUUCUCGACAAUAUUUCAUAUCUACCUCAUUAACUUCUCGAUUAAUAAUAAAUUUUCGAAACGGCUUGAUUGAGAAAUCGAAUUAUUCCUAGCACAGCGAAAAAUGGAUCAUCAAACUAUUUUAAUUUGAUUUAUUAAUGUCUUUUCCAAAUUCGUAUUUAAUUAAUAAAUAUUCCCCAAUAACCAACACUCGACAACAGUCAUUUUGGUAGUUCAUUUGAGUUACUUUGCCAUUUCCCUUUUGCUCGGCUUGUCCUUUUUUUUUUAUUUUUCUGAUUACCUUGUUCCCUUUGACCACCUUCAUUAAUUGAUAAUUUUUCCUUGUAUUAUAGGAGAUUUAUAAAUAUUCAUAUUGUAGCAAAAGUAAACUCAAAUUUAGAGUGCACAAGGAAAUAGUCAAAUAUCUCAACUUCAAAAGCCUUUAAUUAAGCCACAAUGUGUUCGCGCACUCUAUUAACACUAGUGAAUUUCAUUAAUAAUAAUUUGAGUACUAGCUAAAAUUUUAUCCCAAGAUUUAAAUUGUCUUUCAAUAAAUCCUCGACAUUUUUGUGGUUGUGGUCUCCAAAUACUUUUGUGAUCAUCCAUAAAGAACAACUUCAGCACGUAAUUCAACUUUAUGAAUAGUCAUCACUAAUUAAAUCAUGCAUAUUAAAUUUGAUAUCAGAAAAGUUUACAAGUAGCUUCAUAAAUACAUAAUUGUGAUAUAUUUGAAUGGUUUUCCACCUCAGCAUAAACUUAUUUUAGAGUAAAUUUGUAUGCGUUUUAGUCUUGUUACAGUAUCCAAGCCUAAUGGCAAUACCUUAAUAGUAAUUAUUCUCUCUAUCUAGUACUCGAAACUGGUUUUAAAUAUCUUCCAUUCAUUCAACAAAUAGUUAUGGUCUAAAGAAAUUUCUGGAAUUCAUGGCUGCCUACUUGCGAGAGGACUAAUGAAAUAUGCGAUGCAAGUUGAUGAAAUCUUAUAAUUUGUAAUAUAAAAAACAAAAACCAUACCUCCUUAAUAACAUAAAUAACACGUUCCAUAAUCAACAUCUGAGAACUUAAAACUUAAUUGUAAUGUUGGCUGAACCAGACUCAAAAAGGGGAGAAAAGAAAAAUAAGUCCGAACCUGAAAAAACUGACCGUAUAGAAAACCCUGACAGGCAGAACAGUAGCAAGCAACAUAAAACCAAGACAUAUUCACUUAAAGCACUUGGCAUCCAAGAGAGGCUCUCCCUCAAAUGGCUCGCAGUCUUCAAUCAUCUGAUUCACCCGUUCCUUCUGGGAUGCAUCUGAGAGGUCAACCUUCUUCCACUCGUAGAGUUCCAUGUCAUAGCACUCGUCAAUCACAAAUUGAGGAAUCUCUUGCCCACGGAAAAGCCAUAGUCCUUUCACCUUGAAUGGGGGGUUAGCACCGAUCACCAACAUCUUCCCAAAUGCAUACUUGCGGG
This 78763-nucleotide long non-coding RNA is filed under the name Gossypium barbadense (sea-island cotton). RNAcentral describes it as "long non-coding RNA (GBAR_LNC011194)". The stretch from base 21426 to 21470 matches the Rfam family "Histone 3' UTR stem-loop". Lineage: Eukaryota; Viridiplantae; Streptophyta; Magnoliopsida; Malvales; Malvaceae. The record is from RNAcentral.